CUGAUGACGUCUGCGACCCCGACGUCUGCGACCCCGACGGCGACGGCGGUGGCGUCCCACCAGCCGGAUUACUUGAGUUCGACGGCGCCAAUGAUGGCGCAUUACCAGGUGACGAUGGAACCGCCGGCGGUGACGUGGAAGGGGAGGUUCCCGGCGGGGGAGAUACUCCUGUUGGAGCAUUAGCCGCAGGUGGCUGCGAUGACGGUGACGUGGAGGGGGAAGUUCCCGGAGCCGGUGACAGCCCAGUUGGAGCAUUAGCCGCAGGUGGUUGCGAUGACGGUGACGUGGAGGGGGAAGUUCCCGGAGCCGGUGACAGCCCAGUUGGAGCAUUAGCCGCAGGUGAUUGGGAUGAUGAUGGUGACGUAGAAGGUGAAGUUGCCGGCACCGGAGAGUACCCUUUUGGAGGAUAAGGCGAAGGCGCAUGAGAUGAUGGUGACGUGGAAGGUGAAGUCGCCGGCACUGGAGAGUAUCCUUUUGGAGGAUAAGGCGAAGACGUGGAAGGUGAAGUUGCCGGCGUCGGAGAGGACCCUUUAGGAGGAUUAGCCGAAGGUGCAUGAGAUGUUGGUGAGGUGGAGGGGGAAGUCGCCGGCGGCUGUGUGGCCGGAGAAGGAGACUUAGGAGACGGGGCAUGCGGUGGAGGUUUCGUGGUGGGGGGUCCAGUUGAGGGAGGGGGAGGCCUUUCAUGCAAAACGACGACGAUUAAUUUCUGUCCCUUUUGGCAAUGAUCAUGGUUUCCACUUAUGAAAUAGAAAGGACCCGAACGAUCAAGCUUGAACUCUGAGUCACCCGAAUCCAGUUUCAGCAAAGGCUUCUUCGUGUUGCAGCUGUCGUAAUCAUCUUUGUUCACUAACAACACCGAGUCUGAUCCUUUCUUGUACUUGAAAACUGCCAUAAAUUAAAAAAAAAAAAAAAAUCGAAAUCAGCAUUCUUUCAUUAGAUCGUCACCCCCAAACACAGGUUAAGCAGUGAUAUUCAAACAGAAAAUCCUCAAAGAACGCUGACAGAAACAGAGUAAACCUUAAGACUUACAGAGGGUAUCAUUGACGAGGAACCUGUUUCUCCCAGACCAUUUGUUGUAAUUUUCUCCAGGGUUUGUAACCCAGCCGUGUUUGCCACCCACGUUGAAUUUGAGUGCGUGAGAGGAAGAGAUGAAAAAUGCAAAGAGAGCCAAGGAAAGGCAAAGAGAUUUCUGAAACUCCAUUGAACAGAAAUGUGCUCUAGACUUGUGUGUUUUCUGUUUUUAUAUAGCGAUGAAAGUGAUAUAGAUAUGUACGAUGACCCAGAAGCUUCACAGAAAAUCUGCCAAUUGGAAGUUUUUAUUGGUAUUGCUUUUUUACUUGGGAAGUAAAAGAUUUUGGAGAUUUGAUUGGAGAAGGAAAAUCAGAGAUAAGAAGGAAAGUGAAGAUAGAGGCAGUGGCGUUGAUAUAUAAAGAGAGAUUCAGAUUACCGUUUGAAUAGUAAUAGCAAUCAAUCAAUGAAUCCCAAAACUUUAUUAGAGUCGAGCCAGGUGAAGUUAUUGUUUGUCUGCUUAUUAGUCUACGCCUAGUAUUUGGUCUUCUGUUUCUUUUUACAGGUGGCAAAAUCAGAGAACGUGAACGUUGAUCAUGCAAUUGAAAUUAAUGUAGUGUCAAUUGUGGGGUAGAUUGGAGCCUCCCAUGUGUCUCUUCGCACAACCGUGUGAUACACGUUUCAAUUGUAUCUUAAAUUUGUUCAUAAUCAUACGGUACGUAUUUCACUCGAGCUAUUAACUCUUAAUAUUUAGGGGCUUGGAUGAGAUGAAAAACUUCACUCACUAAGCACACACUUAUCACAACUCCUCUCCUAUUAGCACUAAAACUCAUGUGAUUGCACUCACAAUUAGCCGAGCUAAAUUUGGAGGCUAAAAUGUUAAUCUUUAUGAUCAUCAAUACAUUUUAGUCGGCCAAAAUUGAUUAUAAGACUUGUUCUUCCCGUUGAACUAUUAAUGCCUCUUUGUCCGUUGGUGUUGACUUCACAGUUAUGCAAGAUUGGACCAGCUCAAGUCGAAGGGCUCAUAUAUCCAGUGCUUGGCCCCAGGAGUAGACAGAUAGUCUGUUCAUGGCCACCAUUAGUCCUUUCACCAUAAAUAAUUAAACCAUGCUUUGGUGUAGGGAAAGUUUACUGAGUCUCAUAGCCUUUGGGUUAAAAUGAAGGGUGACCCUCCAAGUUUUUAUGACUUUCAUCCUGAAUUAAGUGGCUGUGGUUCUCUUACAUAGAACACAGGAGUAGACGAAUGGUACCUACUCUCAUCUACUGUUUAGUAGAGUCUAGGACAACGGGUGCGCUAUGACAUUCAUGUACCUAUCUAUAUCUACUGAAGUCAUAACAUGCAUGCAUGUGUGUGUGUGUGUGUAUAUAAAAAUUGUCCGCUAAUUUUGAAAAUUCAACAACAAAAGUGUGGAAAAGGAAAAAAAGUGUAAUCUGCAGGAAAUGAAUGAAUAUGGUCAAACAAUCUUCAACCCUCGAGUAAAGGAAUCCAAGAACUAUAACAAGAGCCAUAAUUUUGAGUUUCUGUGUGUGUAUUCAGCUACCUCUGUCACUACUCAUAUGAAAUGUACAUUAUAGGUGGGAAAAGGGUGGUGUCGAGGGCUUGUGUGAACCAAAUACCCCGCAAACAAACAACUUUUUUCACUCAAAUGGAAUUCACAUGAUGCACCAAGAAUUCCCCACCCAGUUCAUAUGAAUGAAAUCAGCCAUUCCCUCAAGAGAAUGUGUAAUAUCAUAAAAUUAAAAAAAAAAGGGAAAACAAAAAGGUCUCUUCAAAAGUCAUACUUUGUUCUCCCACUCAUCAAGAUGAGACACAGCAUAUCUGAAAUGUCAGAAGAAGAACUGAAGAAGUUCCAAGACUCGAGCAUUAGGCGUUUCCUUGAUCCCUUGAAAUGAACAACCUAUACAAUAAUAAAAUCAAUAUUUUAAAAUAAUGCACACUUGAAAACUUUUAUGUGACAGCAAGAGGAAGUCAUAUGAAAAAAACAAAAUAUUUAAACUAAGCAAUUGAAUUUAGAUAUUCAAGCAUACCUUAACAUCCAAAGGCAUUCCAUGAAAUUGGCCUGCACCCUCAGGUGGUGUCCAAUUGUACGUAGCGCAUGGUAGAAAUAGCACAGAAGCUCCAAUAAUGUCUUCAACAAAGGGCUGUGCUUUGGUAAAUCUCCUUGCAUCAAAAGAAGGGUGCGAUUUUACAACCCAGGCAAGAGCUAACUGGUCACCGAGCAUUCUGGAGGCAUUCAUGUAUUUGGAACUGUAAACCCUUAAUACUUCCUCAAGAAAUAUCUUCGCCCUGAAAUCAAUUUCAGGUUGUAAUUUUCUCAAGUGAAUUUUAUUGUCAUUAUUCAUACAGCCUUUCAUGCACCAGGAAAUUGUGAAGGAAGGACCCCAAAAAAAAAAACCUCAAGAAAUAUCUUCGCCCUGAAAUCAAUUUCAGGUUGUAAUUUUCUCAAGUGAAUUUUAUUGUCAUUAUUCAUACAGCCUGAAGGAAAUAGGAAAAAGACAAGAUUGGUUCCCCAAAAAAAAAAAGAAGGAAAUAGGAAAAAGACAAGAUUGGUUCAUGUAUCUUAUAAUCUGUAACGAACUAAUGGACCAAUAACUCCAACCAAUGACCCACAAAGAUUUGCAAGAUAUAGAUUUCAAUUUCAAAGUCUCCGUAACGGACAAUAGAAACAUUUCAAACUUUUUUCCACCACCUAAUUUUAUUCUAGUAGAAAAAGCCUUGCACAGAAGGAGAAAAUUAGGCACCUUGAAAUCCCAUCUGGGGUGCCCCUGACAGCAAUAAAUCCAGAAUUCAGAGGUUGAUCUUUAUUGUUUCUGAAAGUCAGAGCCAGAUGAAAGUUUUGGUAAUCGUGAAAUAUAUGUCCUAAGUCGUCAACCACGGCUAUAUCUGAGUCAGUGAAGACAUAAUGAUUUAUAUGCCCUUGCCCCUGAGAAUGCUCCCGAAUUCUUCUUUCUAGAAAAGUCUGCAUAAACAGAAUAACAUUGAAACAUAAAAUUCAAAACAGUGCCCUCAUAGUUCAAGAAGCAAAAUUCUUGACUAAUUAUUUUAUCAUUGCAAUCUUAAUCGUUAAGCAAAAUAAGACAAUUUUCAACGAUAUCUUCUGAUAUGAAUAAGUAACUAUUAACUCUUUGUGGCAAAUGCAACUAGGGCAUAGAAUGUUCUUCUCGCAAGAAAUGAGACCAAAAGCAAAAUGAAUUUAUUUGUGAGUCUGCACAAGAGUUUGGUGAGGGGGCAAAAGAAAAACUACAAUGAAGGAUUGCUAGGGGGAAAAUAAGUAGAAAGAACAAGAAAAAAAAAAAAAAUCUUGAAAGGGAACAUAAAAUACAAAUGAAAAGCUGGUAAGAAAGCUGCAGAAAUAUACAUAGAUAAAUUAAGACAUUAUAGACAAUUUCUGCAAAUGAUUUUUAUUUCUCAGAAAUAUGAAUGAAAAACAAAAACAUUCUACCUAUUUAUCAGUGCGAUUUGCUCUUACAAUGUAAGACCUGAUUCUUUGAAGCAUCAAUUUGUCUCGUGAAUAUUCACCAUGAAUGGGAUAUAUGGUGACCCCUUUUCUGGGCAUUGAGAGGUCUGAAGCUGGAUCAGUCAGAAUGAAAACAUCACUCUUGGGCAUUGUCACCUGCAAUAAUUUUAUGUUUGAAGUCAUGAAUUAGUAAAAUUUGAAAGCUGCAAACCAUACAGGUCCAUUAAUAGAUGACAUAGCUCUCAAUUCUACUAUGUUAGACAAAGGUAGUUAUGACAAUAAGUAAAUGUAAAUAUAAUUAUCAAUGAUAAGAGUUCCCAAAUACACCAACAUAAAGAUCGCUCUUAAGUUUUAGAUGAGUCAUCCCAAAGUUGCAACAAUAGAUGCUAAAAAUAGUAAAGCUCAAAGUUAAUAUCUGAAUUACCAUGUAAAAUCAAUGAACGUUAUUCUCAGAUUUUUUUUUUUGGAUAAGAAACAUGAACUCUACCCCAGUUUCUGAUGGAUUUGUCAAAGACUUGCCUGAAUAAAGUUAAUGAAGACAUUCAGUAUCGCCAUUGACCUCUCUGUCUUACUAUAUGAAGCAUUUCCAACUGUAACCAUGUUUGAUGCUCUGCUAUCUACAGGAACAUCAAGUGAUGUGUUAUAAAUUGUGAAAACAGUGACAAAGGAAAUGCUAUUUCCAAUGCUAGAGGCUUGGAAAGAGGUCUUGUUGAGAGCUUUUAAUCCUGAGACAGAAAUCAUGGAAUAAAACCUUCAGCAUUAGUAUUGGUAGUAAAACCACUUGACCCAAAAGCUUAAAUUGGUAGGCAAGAGCCUGAUAAUUGUGUUAAAGACAAGUUUUGACAAGUACAAUUAAAGAGGAUGUUUCCAUAGAUUAUGUCAUAUGACCACCAAAUGAGUGAGAGUAUAAAUUACAAUGUGAGAUUUAAAAGGCCUUCACAUCCAAAAAUAUGGAAACUUCUCAAUAAAUAAACUCUAAACAUACACAAUAUGAUCCAAUUCAUAAUUUGAGCAUUCACAUACGUGUUUAUUGGCGGAAAAAGGCUACGGAACUGCAGGGCCAGUUUCAAUUGGGAGAAAAAUACCAUGGAGCUAAUUAGCCAAUCAAUUUCAAAUAUGUUGAAACCACUAUUUUCAAAUUUAAAGUAGAUGAUCAACAGAUAAUAAUGGAUUAAGAAGGAUUUCAUUUUAGAAAUCCAAAAUAGAAAUAGUAAGUCUAUAUUAGCAGGAAAUACUAGCAUAUUAUUUACAAGGACAAUGAACCUACCUUGGCAUUGCAAACGGUUAGGCAACCGUUGGCCAGCAGCUGGACCAAGAAUCAGAUGAUCAAACUUCUGUCUAUUUUUCCUGGGAAGAUCUUCUACAACCGACUUUUCAUGCAAUUCCAGAACUGAAGAUGGACACCAAUCAUUAUUCAAGCAAAAAUUCCCUUUAUAAAUAAAUACAACAUUGAAAUGCUGUAAACGGAAUAAUUAGAAGUAGACCAAAACUAUUACCUGAUAACAGAUAAGGGAGGAAGAAGACCAAAGGGAGAAAGAAAAGGAAACGGCGACAUCCACCACAUGCUCUCAUGCCUAAGCUUCCUUUCAAUGGACCAACUGACUCAAAGAUCAUCUCCAGCACAAAUUGAAUUGAGAAAAAGCAUAAAAUGCACAGUAUGUUUCCUUCGAGUGCCAACACUCUAGUACCUCUACAGCAAUACCAAAUGAACAAAACUCUAUAACAUAAUGCUCAUAUAAACCAUCAAAGCUUAAAGAAGAACAAAACAGCAACUCAAAUUAAGCUGAAAAUCACGGAGGAAUCUAAUUCUACACCGAUCCUACUGCUAAUAUAUACAUAAUACCAUUAUCACAGACAAAAUGCAGAUGAAGCAAGUGCAAGAUCAAAUUUUGCUUUCAAUCGCAUUAUUAUAGCUAUUAAAAGUAAAUACCCAGUUCAUAAAAAGUAAUUUUCUGGUUCUCAGUUUUAUAAAUUCGCGAUACUCAUGAGCAAUUUCCUACAAAACUGAAAAUUUAGAUUGAAUAAUGCAAGAGCUCUAAAAGUUUAACUUGAAUGAACAAAGUUCGGGCAAGAAAAUACUCACCCAGAUACAGAGGAAAAAGAAAAAAACGUUGAUGGCUACAGAAACUGUGCACUUGACGGUUGACACGAGAUCUGGUUACGGCUACUGAGCUUCCAGCCUUCCAUGAUGGUUUUGAUUAAAUAAAUACUCUUUGCUUCUGUUAUUAAUAAUGUCAUAGAAGGAGUAUGAAACUAUGAAACCUAAUACAAAAUGACAAUGAAAUGACGAUAUUAACCUUGAUUCGUCUAAUUACAUGCUUGCCGAUGGUAAUGGGGAGGGGAGACUAUUUGUCCUUCUAUCCUUCUGUUUCCAUUGGAAUUACACGAGAGAAAGGAAUAGAAGUCUCUAAAGAGUACACAAUUCCUGAAUGACUAUUAUAUCUUUAAUUUUUGAACAUAAUUUAACUAUAUUAAAAAUAAAAAAAUUUAAAUAUAAAAUUACGUCACUAUUAAACUAAGUCAAUGCUGUCAAUAUUACAAGUCAAUCUUUUAAACUUAUCCCCAAAAAAAAAAAAAGCGUGAUAAUAUUUCUUGCAUUACCUGUUACAAAAAUCAAACAAUUCAAAUCAUGACAAAAUGACCUCCUCGAUCUUCAUUAAAUAAUAGUGGCAAGUUACGUCAAAGUCUUGAUAUUAAAUAAUAUCUAUAUUUUUUUAAUAAAUAUUGUGAUAUUUGUUAUUACACUCAUAUUUUAAAAUUUAAUUUAAAUUUAAAUAUAUUCACUAACAAUUUUAAAAAAUAAAAAAAUGAUAAAGGAGAAAUUAGCAGGGGAUGACUUUCAUCUAAUUCUCAUUCCUUUCUCGAAUAAGAUAUUAGAUAUGAAAUGGUCCAUGCCCUUCCUCAUAUAAAAUAAUUCCCUCACUAUAUUCGAAUGGCAAAAAUCCCAGCAUUUCCUACUAAUAUAUUUUAAUUUGAUACUUUGACUUAUUCCAAAUGUCUAUUUUCAUUUAAAAAGAAAAAUUAAGACCAAUCAAACACAUCUCAAAUUCCAUCAUAUCAUAAUCCGGUUCUGAGAAACAAUGAAAAUUAUGUGAUCAAGUAACUUCAAAUUUCUAAAACUUUCCCAUAAAAUUAUAAAAUAAAUAAAUAUAUUUUUAAAUGAUGCUAUAGCUUGGGCCGCCGCCGGGCACCAUAUGAGGGUGUCAGGCUAGGGCUUUACAGAAAUAGCCCAAGCCCGACGUAAGACUGGUGUUUAAAAUUUUAAAAAAAUUGUACCAAUUUUUAAUGUUUAAUUAUAAUUAAACCAAGUGCCUUAUUAUAUAACUAAUACAAUUUAUUAGUGAUAAUGAUACGAUAACUGUAAAAAUCUCAUACGUUUCUAUUAUUUUGUUUCAACAAAUACACAUAUGUAUAUGGAAUCGCACAAAUUUAUUUCCAUAAUUUGUAUAAAUGAUUAAUAUACUUUUCCAUAUAGUUUUACUUAAAACAUUAUUUGUUUCCAUCAAUACUUUCGUUGAUUUCAUAUAAUGUACACACACACACACACAAAUUUUUCUACUAUUCGUUAUACAUGAAUACAUUUACUGCACUUAAAUAUUUCUAACUUUAAUUGCCCUUAAAACUUAUGUAAAUAUAAUUUCAAUAUCAUUCUUUGAUAAUUUAGCACCCAAAAACACUUUUUAAAAUAAAUUAUUUAAAAAUUUGAUUCUCCAAUAAUUUAUUUUUGUACUAAACAUUAAAAGUUACUAGGAUUAGCUUUGGAAUAUCAGAUUUUUUUAAAAAAAAUCUGAUAUUAGAAUCUGCAAUACCAUUUUUAUCCUUAUCUUAGAAACAUAUGUCCAAAAAUACCCAUGCACUAAUUUACGUAAUUUAUUAAUAUUUAGAAAAUUUAAUUUUUCAAAAACAACAAAAUACCAAAGCCAUCGCCGGUGCCAGCAAUGUCUCUGUCACCAUCAUCAGCGUCUAGUGGAAGUAUUCCUAGUGCGACACCACAAACCCUAUUAGACUUCAAACUAUCUUCCGUACACAAUGGUUAUGCCGUGGUUAGCGGAGAAGAAAUGAUGGUGUGUCUCCUGUGUUCCUGAAAUAAAAUGGCUACUAUAAUGCUGCCAUGAAAAGGAGACAAAUAAAGGUAAGCUGCCUGCCACUAUCAUCUGAUGGAUUGAUGAUGAUAAUAAUAAUAAUAUACUUAUUUAAUUAAAAAAACAAUUUUUAUCUAUUGCAUAUGUGCUUUAUUUGUUGAUAAAAGAUGAGUUGUUAUAAUUUCAGUAAUUAUUUAAUAAUUAGUUUGAAAUUUGAAUAAAAAUACCAAUUUCUUAACAAAAUGUGGAUAUUUUAAUCAUUUUACACAGACACCGUAUAUUUAAGAUCAAUUUACCAAACAUUUAUAGCAAAUUUAUUGGGAAGUAAUUAUUUUGUAAUCUAAAUUUACCAAACAAGCAACCAAAUUAUUAGUAAAGUUGAUUAUUUCAAAAUCUAGCCUAAAAUAGAUUAUUUGGGAAGCAAAAGCAAUCUCAAACAUACCCUGGCUUCCAUAUAUUCAUCCAAGAAGCAAUGUUUAUGGUUUAAUAUGUUCAUUCUCCUUAGAGAUGACAAUAAAAUCCGGAUUCGGCCUGCAUCCGUAAGGAUCCAUAAAAUAUGGAUCCGCAAAAAUUCAGAUAUGUAUUUUUGAAAAUGCGGAUCCGGAUUUGAAAAACUAAAACCCGCACGGAUUCGGAUAUAAAUCCAGAUGCACUUGCAUGUGGAAAACUGGAUAUCCAGAUCCGGUUGGUUUUUGUUUUAAAUUAAAAUAUAUUAACUUAAAUUAAAAAAAAAAUCUAAUCCCUAGCUGUCAGUGUCGUUCGCUUCCUUCAUUCAACUUUCAUACACACACACUCACCUCACCAACAGCCGUAAGUCGUAUCCCUCAAAUCUCGCUCUCAACUGGUCGUUGUCUUCUGUCGCCUCGCUUGAUUUGUCGUUGAAGCCUCGUUGUCCAAGCCUUGCGGUACUCGUUGAAGAAGCCUCGCUGUCGUUCAACCCUGGCCGUGUAAGCCUCGCCUGAUUGGAAUUAAUUUGUCAGUAAUUUUUUAUAUUUGAUUUAUGUUGUGAUAUUUUUAUUUAUGGAUUUAUGUUGAUGUUAUAUGUUAUUUAUGUUAAAUUGUUAAUUGUUGGAUUAUAAUUGAAUUUUAUUUGAUAUUAUUAAUUAAAUUUUUGAAUUUUUAAAUUAUAUUUUAAAUUAUUUAAUUUUAAGUUUUUGCGGAUCCGGAUAUCCGGAAUAUCGGCCCACAUCCGGAUAUGAAAAUUUUGCCAACCCUAAUUCUUCUUCAGGUUUUAUGUAUAAAUUAAUAAGCUCCUCUCAAACUCAGGCCUUGCAUUUUCUUUAUCUUAGCACCUAAAUCGCCCAUCCAAAUUAAUUUACAAUCUCUUCUUUAAGUCUUCUGAUUCUUUUUUAUUUAUUUAUUUAAAUUAAAUUUACUUUAGGUAUUUUAAUAGCCCUAAAAGAUACUAUUACUUGUCAUAGUGUAGCUAAUAAAUUUCAUCCAGAUAUAUUAUCACACCAUAUAGCGUUAGUGUUUCUGUUCAAUUAACUAUUAUGCCAUAAAAUGUAAUAGCCUGAAUGAAAUUCGCGUUUAGAUACUCGUACUUCAGAAUUUCUAUUCAAGCAUUGGUUCCAGAUAUAGUUUAACGAAGUGAGAGUGGAAUUAUUUAAUGGUUUGUAUAGAUUUAUUGGUUUAGAUCUCCGAUGGAUUCGUGUGUGGGUAGAAGCAAGUCUUCAGACAAAGCAACUGCUAAGUUGAUGAAUAACAAAGUUUUACUAGAAAAGUCAAUAGCCUCUUAGACCUAAAAAAAAAAAACAAAUUGCGGUAAUCUUACGGUGCUGAACAUUUCUUAUGGGAUCUUGUGAAGGAAUAUGUGGAAGAAAAUGGAUUGAAUGUAAUAGCGUGGCUCAAAUAAGUGAGUAGAUAUUGUUUACUUUGGACAUACAACUUAUUACAAAAUUGAUAGUGCUACCUCGAGUUCUCCUACCGUCCUACGAGAGGACUCAAUACAAAAUCUCUUCCCACAAAUGUGGGAGAGAGGAGAUGUUCUUUUAACUUUUAAGGUGUGUGUUUAGAUCUUAUUUCUACGAGAUGUAAAAUUUUAAAUUAUGCUGCUUUAAGGGCACGUUUGGUGGCCUGCAUAAAGUUGCAUAAAAGUACUAUUUUGUAUUAAAUUAAUACACACUCAUGUUUGGCAUCAAAACCAACACACAGAGCAUUGCAUUAAAGGGGUGAGCUAAUAAAGCUUGUCUUUUGUUUUUUUAAACUUUAAUUAUAAUAAUAACUAAAUCUAACUUUUGAUAUAAAUAAUAUAAUGUUAAUGUUAAUUUUUUAUUUUUACAUUAUAAUUAUUAAUAUAAAUCAAUAAUUUAUUAUUCAAUAAUAUUAUAUGAUAUUUUUAAUUUUACAUUAUUAUAUUUUUUAUAUUUAGAUUAUACUUUAUUAGCAGAUUUAUAAUUUAAUAUAACUAAUAAUAAAUAUUAAAAAUAUUAAAUUUUUAAAAUUUAAAACUUUUAUAUUUAAUAUUUUUCUAAGUACUAAUAAAUAUUAUUUUUGAAUAUAUAAUUUAAAUUAAUCACAAAAAAUUAAUACAAUAUAGUACAAUACCAAAUAUUGUAUAAUUAAAAAUUUAUACAGUGUAGUGUAACACCAAACAUUGUACAACAUUAUUAUAAUACAGUAUUAAUGCAAUACAAUAUAAUACAAUACACCGGCAUUAAAAUAAUACAAUACAAUUUAAUACAAUACAGUAUAUCAAACGCACCCUAAGUGUAUAAAUUUAGACUCUUAGACCCUCGAUUGUAAUAUAUUUAUAAUUUUCUCAAAACUAAACAAAUUCAUCUAAGUAGAGAGAAGAUGUCCAUAAUUUACAAUUUGACUACCUUAUAUGGAACAUUUCGGAAACAAAAACGUAGUAUACUGAACUUACUGAACUCUCUUAUAGAUACAAAAUUCUUUCAAGCAUUAUUUCAUAUGAAUGAAUAAAUUGAAGUUUCAGCAUCCUAUAGGCCUACUUGAGAUUAACACAAUCUCUAAAUUUCUAAAUCCCCUAGUUAGGCAUUUAAUAUGUAACGUGUGUUUAUACGUUUUUGUUUCUUAGUUCACGAAGAAACUUGGUUAAACAAAAAUAGACGUUUCUAUCUCUCUGUUUACAAGAAUACUCAAUUUAGUCCAACUUCUGCACGAUGCAAUGAGUUCUAAGAGGUGAUGGCUUGGCAGCAGAGGCCACAAGUUACGCCAAUCCACAAACCCUAUUCAAAACAUGAUAAAGCUAAUAAAGUCAUUGAAUUGGAAGUGAAACAAUUAGUGAAAGUUUGAAAAAGUAAUUAGUUGAUCUAACCUUAACAUAAAGCUUCAACUUAAAUGUAAGAACAACUGAAAGUGGCAUGCCAAUUAAAUAGAAUGUUGCCUAAUUAGCCAACACAGAUAUGUACUGCCAUCCACAUCCUCUUGGACCCCUGCACCAAUUAGGCCGAUUGAUCACUUUAAUUGAAAUCAAAAUUUUAUUAUAGCCCAUAUUGGUAUUGUGAUUGGACAGUUCUAACCUUUAAGUUACAAAAGUAAAAUAUUUAGUAAACGCUAACCGCAGUACUUUAGAAGUUAAAUUAAUUUUAUCACACACUUGUCUGAUGAAAGCCAAAUUUUUUUUAUUAUUUUUGUUAAAAUAAUUUUUAUUAUUCAAUAAAAUCUCUCUUGUGAAGUCGAUUGGAUUAGAGUGUCAUCUAAUCUCGCAUUACACGUUAUUAAAAAUCUUAUUGAGUCGUUGGAUUAGAACGAGAUCUAAUUACGCUUUGAUUAGAGCGUAAUCUAAUCGCGUUGGCUUGAUCCAAUGCUAGAACGAAAUCUAGUUUUCCUACCCUAUUAAUUUCGCUUCUGCUAUGCCUGCUCCAUUAAUUGUUAUCAGAGCGGUUCUAUAUGAAUCGCACAGCUUUCAGGUAUACCCACAUCCAUUCCACCAAAUCCAUCGCCAAAAAAAAAAAAAAAAACCAAAAACAGCAAAACACAAAAAAUCCAGCAAAAUAAAAACUCCAAACGUAAACAACCAUCACAGCUGCCGCAUACAACUAACUCUUGAUUAUUGUUUAGUAUAGUAAGGUUCAUGAUCCGUUUCUACUUAUGCUUAUGAGAUUGAGUAACUUUAUGGAUGUAGUUAUUAUUAUGAGCCUGAAGGGAAUACAAUUAUAAGAUUUAUGAAAGGGCUUGCAAACACCUUAUACACUUUGCAACAUGCAAUUCUUGUAGCAUAGCAAAUUGAAUCACAAACUUUAUAGCAAAUUAGAAGAGAAAGAAGCCAAGCAUUGAAGCAAUCAAGACAACCUCAUCCUCGACACCAAUUUGAGAUCCCUAAUCCUAUCACAAGCCAACAGCCUAAAGUGAAAGACAUACACAUGAAAGAAGUUUGUGCCUCUCCACAUAUCGAGGAUGUGCCUAAAAUUUAAGAUGAAAAUGUACAAUUUAUUAUCGAUUUAAAAUUUCAAUAUGACAAUUUGUGUGAGAGUGUGCAUAAUGUUUCCUUAGAGGAUAAGACAAGCGUUGAAGAUGAUGUGAUUUUUUAUCUCUUUGGGAUUUUUAAAGAAGAAGAACAACCAACUCUUGAUUUGCACAUUGAGCCUAAUAGUACAAUUGAAGUUGUGCAGUAAAAUCAAGUUGAAGAAGUUAAAAUGAUUGAAAUGGUUCUACCUAUUCACAUUGAAGACAAGAAGAUUGUGCUUGAAGAAGAUUAAUUGCAAAGGUGAAACUUAUUGGAGAGCACAUUGAGUGACAAUUGGAGAAGGGCAAGAGUUAUUUAAUCAUUAUUCGUUCUUGGAAGUCAUCAUCGCAACAAAGAAUGUAAAAGCGAAGAAGUUAAUGAAGUAUGGAUUCUUCAAAGUUUCAAGAAAGAUUGAUGAGAAGGACAAUAAGAUGAUUUGCUACUAUACUACAAGUUCCAUCCUCCAUUUGUAUUCAAACUCGAGGAUGAGUUUCUUUUAAGGAGAGACUAAUGUAGGACGUUAUUUUAUGAAUUUUAAGAUUCUAGAAUUUUAUUAUUUAAGAACUUUCUAUUUUAAUUAAAGUCAAUCAUGAUAUUCAUUAUUUUAGGACUUUCUAUUUUCAUUAGAGUCAAUUAAGGUAUGAAAUUUAGUUAACUCAGGGAAGUUGGUUUACUCUAUUAUAAAUAAAGAGAUCUUGUUGUUUUCAUAGCUCAGAUUCAAUUAUUCAAUAAAACUUUUUUUUUUAUAAUUCCCUUUGGAAUUAUUUAUCAAAAUCUCUUUUGUGGAGUCGUUUGGAUUAGAGCAUCAUCUAAUCUCACAUUACAUGUUAUUAAAAAUCUCAUUGAGUCGUUGGAUUAGAAUGAGGUCUAAUCACGCUUCGAUUAGAACAUAACCUAAUCAUGUUGCUUUGCUUUAGUACUAGAACGAAAUCUAGUUUUCUUACCCUAUUAAUUCUGCUUUCGCUACGCCCGCUCUAUCAUAUCAAUUUCAACUAACUACUUACUGUUAUAAAUAUACUAUAUUUUAGGGGCAAACACGGUUUUAAAAAAUAAAUUAUAGUAGAAAAAUAUUAGUUCUAAUUGAUUAUGCAAUUGGAAAUAUAUUAUAAAUUAUACUUUUAAUUAAGUUUUAGUUUUUUUGAAGAUGGUUGUUGAAAUUCAUUUUAUUCUACUUCAUAUAUUUAAAGUGAUCAUUUUAUUAAUUACCUCUAAAAGAAAAAUCGAUGAAUUAAUAGACAAAUAUAUGGUUGAAAUUGAUUUUGUUAAUUACCUCUAGGGAAAAAAAUUCAAUGAAUCAAUGGACAAAUAUUUUUUUUAUAAAUAAUUUCAACAAAUACAUGUGUAGCUUAAACAAAAUACAGAUAAUACACCAAAAGCUGCACAACGCUACUACAAUGACUUAGUAAUCAAUGAAUCAAUGACAAAUAUUCUUUAAUAAUCUCAACAAAUACAUGUGCAACUUAAACAAGAUACAAAUAAUACACCAAAAGAUACACGAUGCAACUACAAUGACUUAGUAAUCAGUGACAAAUAUUCUUUAUAAAUAAUUUCAAUAGAAACAUGUGCAGCAGGUUAAAUGAAAUACAAAUAAUAUAACAAAAGUUACAUGAUGGUACCGCAAUGAUUUAGUGUUGCUAAAAGAUAAAAUCAAUGUGGAUUAAUCACUAAAUCUUUGACAAAAAUAAAACAUAUCACACCAAAUGCUACAAUGAUAUUUUGGUGUUGAUAAAAGAUAGAAUCAAUGUGGAUUGAACAACUGAAUCCAUGUAAAAGUUUAAUAUCAAAGUUUUUUCAUCCUCAGCCCUUGAUUUCCUACAUAACAAUAUAUAUAAAAUAAAUUGUGAAUUAAAAUUUGAUAAAUUAAAAAGAUGAAAAAAAAUCAUAAUAAUUCUUACCUACAAGCCACAAUUAAUCAAAUAAUUCUUCACCAAACAGCCUAACAGAAAAAAAUUCAAACCAGCCUUGUGAGAAUGAGGCCAACAAUAGUUGAUGUCAAGCUUAAGAAAUUAAAGGUAAUGGAAAAAAAAAUCUAAUAGCAUGUCCCCAGAAUUUUAUAAAGCUUAAUUCAAAAGAAUUAGAAGAUGACCCUAAAAUAGAAUUAAAAGCCUUCGAGAGAUAUAUAAUAUAAAAAAAGAGGAGAUGAAUUCAUCCAUUGCACCUAAUAUAAGGAGAACUUGUGUUUGUAAUAUUCUAGCAGUAAAAAAUAACUCCCUCUACGAUGAUAAGAAGUCAAAGGAAAUCAGUAAAAUAGCUGUGAAAAUAAAGGCCCACCAAUAAUAAAUUUACAAGCCAAAUUGAACUCAAAUUCCAAGCAAUAAAUUUGAUAUAAAAUUCGGCUGCAAGUCAACAAUAAUCCAGUAGCUUCAAGUUCUUCUCAAUUCACCAAAUCUUCAAAUAAACCAACCGAUAAAACUCAGAAGCUGCAAAAUAACAGACAAAAACACAAAAAGUGAUAAAAUUAAGAAGCCAGGAUGUGCCCAAGAAGCACUAUCCUUAAAGAAAAGAUUUUGCUCCUUCUCAGAUAAUUUCUAGGUGCGUAAACAGUGGCGGAUGUAGAAAAAUAAUUUAUCGGGAACUAAAUUAAAUAAUAAUAAGACAUAAAAACUGAAAACUUGAAUAUUAUUUUUUUGAUUUAAUGCAAUCUCUAGUUAAACUGUGGCACCCGCAAUUUAAUAAUUAGGAAUUAUAAAUAUUUUGAGCUGUGAGCUUUGAUUUUUAAGUCAAAGUAUAACUUUUGUAAUUAAUAAAAUAAUAGUUUAAAUUUAAAAGGAUGGACUAUCUAAUAAUUUGACAAAACUAUUUAGAAAUAUGUUAAUUUUUCUUUAUGAAAUAGAGAUUUUUUUUUUCAGUGUGGGCUUAAACCUCCAGUGGUCCUAUAGUGAAUCCGCCUCAGUGCGUAAAGGAAUUAAAGACAGUUUGACCUUUCAGAAUUCAAUGGUGUUACAACUGUAAUAGCGCACUCCAAACUACAGUUGAUUCGAACAACAAGUUUUAAUUUGUUUUCCCUGUAAUUGUUUUGUUGAAGAAGGAGAAGAAGAAGAAAUGAAAAUUUUCAUAUAGGUAAUCAAUCACAGCAGCUUGCCUUUACGGCCUUGAAUUACCCAACGACAUCCCUCGAUUUUUGCCAAAAAUCAGCUUCAACCCGAUUUACUCCUGAUAUCCAGCAACUGCUGCAAUAUAAAGACAUGGAGUUUAACCAAAUCCAAUCGGUUCAAUGAACUGAUUUUAAUUCAAAACACAACAAAUAUAUUCGGCUUUUAUCAAGUGACUAAGAAAUGGGCCAACCCCGUGUGCUCAUUGGUGAUGACCACAUCUGUUUUGUCAAUUUGGAAUAGUGGCAUUUUGAAAUACCUCACAAUUUAUAACACUUAAUAUCAGUGGCUUUUAUUUAUUUAUUCCAUGAAUAGAUAGGAUUCGGUUUCGAUGGCUGAUUCAGAGACUUGUUAGAGAGAAUAGAGAGAAUGAAGAGUGGGUUAGAGUAAACAUAUUAUUUGCACUAAACACUUUAGUUAGGUGGCAUUAUAGUAAUUAAGUGGACCAAAUGGUUACUAGAGAAAAUACAAGAUAUUUAAAUUAAAAAAAUCAAUCAAUUAAUUUAUUUAUCCUAAGUUAGUUAUUUCAUACUGAUAAAUAUUGAAAAUUAUUAGCAUAUGAUUUGAUUAAUUGCAAACCAAAACUUCUUAUCACGCAUGUUAAUGUAAAUUUAAAGUUUGUUAUAAUUGAACAAUUAUAUAUUGUUAAACCUUGAUUGAAUUUAAUCAACCAAGAAUCCCCAAGACUAGUUAAUCUCUCUUAUAUUUGAUAAAGAAACACUAAGUAAACACAAAAGAAACAAAAGCAAAACUGAAGGCGGCAAGCAAAAAAGAACAAAUUUAUAGUGGUUCGGCUUGGAGAUGACCUACAUCCACUGAAGAACAGAGUAGUAGUCUUUAUUCAAUCACCAAGAUCAAGAUACAAGCUUAAAGAUGAAGUUACAAGCUUCUCAUUACUCGAUUUCCUCUCUCCUAAGGCUAUAAAUAUUCGCCCAAGAAAACCCAAAAAGUUCUUUCACCAGUUAGCUGAAUUCUGGUUUGUUAACAGCCAAAACUCCAGAAUUUUCCCGCUCUUGUAACAUAAUAUAACAGUCUCUGAGCCACGUGUUCGCAACACGUUAAACGAAAGCCCCAAAACGACAACUCAACAGGUCGUAAAGAUAAGUGAAAUCAUGUGAUAGCCACGUGCUUUACUUAUUCAGAAAUAGCUGAUGAAACAAGAUUGUCAUACGAUCUAAAGAGGGCUUCACUGACAUGUCAUAUACCACUACAACCGCAAAUCGACAUAACAUAUGACUUUCUGGAAACCUAGUUUCAAAUAGGGAUGGCAAAAAUCCCCACAGGGACGGUAUCUUCGGGGAUUUUUCCCAUUCGGGGAGGGUAAGGAGAUAAUUUUAUGCUCAAUUUUUUAUUCAGAGAGGGGACGGGAAAAAUUUUUUACCCAAUUUUUUAUUCGAGGAGGGGACGGGGAUGAGGUGGAAUCCCCAUCCCCUACCCAUUUCCCCAUUUUAAUUUUUAAUUUUAUUUUUAUUUUUAAAAUUACUAAUAAAUAAAUAACAAAAUUAUAAAUAUUGUUAAAAAUAAUAAAUAUCAAAAUAUUUAUAUUAUUAAACUUUUAAACUUAAUUAACUAAUUAAAGUCUUAAAUUUUUAAUCCAAACCACAAUUAUACAGGAGAGAGCUGCCUAAUUAUAAUUUACAACAGUCCUAAUCCUAAUUCGUAUCGGACGGGACAAUGAACGCAAUACCAAAUUGGUAAACCUAUUCUUGUUCGGAAAGAAUUUCCAAAAGUUGAAAUUCGUCUCAGAUUUUGAAAAGCUUGCCUAUAAAUACACAGCUCUCUGUUCUUGUGCGUUUAGGGAUGGCAAUGGGCACCGCCCGCAGCGGGUUUGCCAUUACCAAACCCAAACCCGCACAAAAUUUAAAUUACCAAACCCACCCGCAACCCGCAGCGGGUUUUAAUUUUUUUUAAAAAACCCACCCACAGCGGGUUUUAACAAUUACCAAACCCGCAAUGGUAUCCGGCGGAUUUUUUACGGGUUUCCGUAUUUAAAAUCACAAAUUUUUAAUAUAUAAAUUUAUAAUAAUAACCUCAAAUUCCAUAUAACAUAUUCAAUUUUAUAUUUAAACAAUAUAUUAAUUCGAAGGGAAAUGUUUUUAAUUUUCUUUAGGUUAUGACUUUAGAAUAGAAGAUGAGCCAUAUACACACAUACACAACUUUGAGCCUUUGACUAUUUGGUAAUUUGAUUAAUUACAUUAUUUUCUUUAUAUAUUUUUAUAUUUAAAUUAAAUUAAAAAUAUUUGAAAAACAUUAUUGCGGGUUUGGUGGAUAUCCAUGUGGGUAUCCACCGGGUAUAAGGUUAAUACCAAACCCACCCGCAUCCAUGUGCGGGUUUUAAUUUAUAAUACUAAACCCGCCCGCAACGGAUAAAAUUACUCGCAACGGGCGGGUUUUGGCGGGUGGGUUUGAGUGGGUUUGAGUGGGUUUGCGGGUACAAUUGCCAUCCCUAUGUGCGUUCCAAAUUAAAAAAAUCCCAAGCGAACAGCGCACGCUUACAAUUGUCUUUGUCAAGUCAGUCUUUGCAAAUUAAUCAAAGUCUUUGCGCGUUCAGCACUCUUCUUUGGUGGCUUUUUAUUUAUCACUCACAUCACACCACAUCCAUUCACAUGCCAUCAUUUAUGCGCCACAUCACCAUUGUCAAAUAAGCAUUCACGAUCAACAUCCACAAGUAAGUCUUGAUUCUUGCAAUUUAUAUGUUUAAUUUUUUAUUAUUAAUUUCUUUCAUUCACAUCUCAUAAGUAAACUAAGUUUUUGUCAUUUUAUAUAAUGAAAGUGGAAGACAACUCUGAUGCUUUAUUGAUUCUAUAAAAUUCUUGUGCACAAAUCUUUUUAAUUGAAAAUUUAAAUUGAUAUUAUGUUUAAUUUAUUUUAUUUUGUAUAUUUUUAGACCAAUAGAAGCAAACAUGUCAAGUGCUACACCAACACCACAAUUAGUGGAUGUAGUCCAUGUGGAUGAUGAUGGUCAAACAGAAAAUGUUAUUUCGGAUGGGUCAUCAAAAAGAGGAAGCACUAGAAAAUUAAGAUCUAUUGUCUGGGAUCAUUUUGAGAAAAAGAUAAUUAAUGGGGAACAAAAGGCAGUAUGUAACCAUUGCAAUUCCAAGUUGGUAUCAAGGCAAAAUGAUGGAACAAAGCAUUUGCAUGACCAUAUGAAAUCGUGUUUCAUGAAAAAACAAAAAGAUAUCAAUCAUUACAUGACAAAAUUGAAUACUGUCAAGGAUGAUAAAGGACAUUCAAAGGUAGAAUCUUUUGUUUUUGAUCAAGAUGUCACAAGGAAAACAAUUGCACGUGCAAUUGUCAAGCAUGAAUAUCCGUUAAGUAUCGUUGAUCAUGAAGGAUUUAGAGAGAUAUUAUCCUCGUUUAACCCAAUGUGGAAGCAUGUGUCCCAAAAUACAAUUAAAAAGGAGAUAUUGGAUUUGUAUGAGAACGAAAAGGCUAAGAAUUUGAAUGCCUUGGCGAGCAAUCAAAGUAGGCUGGCCAUCACAACAGAUAUGUGGACUGCAGAUACCCAAACAAAAGGGUACAUGGCAGUUACUGGACACUUUAUUGAUGAUUCUUGGACGUUACGGAGUCUAGUUUUGAGGUAAGGUCUUUAUUUUUUAUUUUUUGUAUUUAACUUAUUUUUUAAUGUUAAUUAAAAAAAUUUAACAAAAUAUAUAUAUAUAUUUUUUAUUUUCUUCUUGUAGGUUUCAGCAUGUAAAAGGUUCACAUACUGGCUUAAAGCUUUGUGACACAUUAUUUAAUUGCUUGAUGGAUCUCCACCUUGAACAUAAGGUAUCUUCUGUGACUGUGGACAAUUGCUCUGCCAAUGACCGCAUGAUGGAAUAUCUUUUGAUUAAGCUUAAUAAAGAUGAUCUCAUUUUACGUGGACAAUUAUUUCACAUUCGUUGUUGUGCCCAUAUAUUAAAUUUGAUUGUCAAAGAAGGUAUGACUGUGAUUAGUGAUGGAAUUGCAAAAAUUCGUGAGAGUGUUGUUUUUUGGACUGGAUCAUGUAAAAGAAAGGAGAAGUUUGAAGAAUUUGCUAGUCGUUCAAAUGUUAAAUAUGAUAAACAAUUAGUGCUUGAUUGUCCUACUAGGUGGAAUUCCAUAUAUCUUAUGAUUUCAUCUGCUUUGCAAUAUAAAAAUAUUUUUCUUCGAUUAAAGGAUAUUGAUGGACAAUAUAAGUGUUGUCCUAGUGAGGAAGAUUGGCAGUUUGCCAUUAUUUUGGAAGAGAAUUUGAAAAGUUUUUAUGAUGUCACUGAGUUAUUUUCAGGAACUAAGUAUCCAACAACAAAUGUAUUCUUGCAACAUGUGUGUGAGAUUAAAUUAUCUUUACAAGAUUGGCUUUUAUCACCUUGUGAUAGGAUUCAACAUAUGGCUCAGUUGAUGUUAUUGAAAUUUGAUAAAUAUUGGCAAGAUAUGAGUGGAAUUUUGGGUGUGGCUUGUAUCUUUGAUCCAAGGUAUAAAAAGAAGUUCAUUGAAUAUUACUUUUCUAUGGUUUAUGGUGGUGUUAAAGAGUUGUAUGUUGGGAAAGUGGUCAUCCUUUGCCGGGAAUUAGUGGAAGAGUAUCAAUUGAAGUUUUCACCAACUGUUUAUUGCUUUGAUUAUACUGGUAGUAGUUCUUCUACUAGAUCUACAUGAGAUUCUUAUAAGAAAGCAACCAAAUGGAUGACAAGUUUUGAUGAUUAUGUAAACAAUGGAGAUUGUGCAGUUGUUGCAGAUGAAUUAGAUUCAUAUUUGGAUGAGAAAGUUAUAUCUCGGAUGGAAGAUUUUAAUAUUUUGAGUUGGUGGAAGACAAAUGCUAAUAGGUAUCCUACAUUAGCUCGAAUUGCUAGAGAUAUUUUGGCAAUUCCAAUUACAACAGUUGCUUCUGAAUCAGCUUUUAGCACCGGUGGUAGAGUUGUGAGCCCACACCGUAACAAACUUCAUCCAAGCACAUUGGAGGCCUUAAUGUGCUGUCAAAGUUGGUUACGAGCUUACAAUAGCGGUAUGAGUUUAUUUUAAUAUGAUUAAUUUAAAAUCGAAAAUAAAAAAUGUAUUAGACUAUUAAUUAUUCGGGGACCGGGGACCCUCGGGGAUCCCGCAUCUCUCAAUUUGCCACAUUUCUCGAGGAAGAACAGGAGGAGCAAGACGAGCAGGAGGUAAAUAGUUUUAUUAAAAAUAUUAAUUAAGUAUCUACAUUUAUUUCAUUUAUUUUAUUGCCGAUAUAAAAAUAAUUUUUUUUCUAAGAUAUAUUUUGAACUUUAUUUUUAUCUGAAUUUUUUUUUAUUUUAAUAUAAUUAAUUUAAAAUCGAAAAUAAAAAAAUGUAUUAGACUAUUAGUUAUUCGGGGACCGGAGACCCUUGGGGAUCCCUUGUUAUUAUUCGGGGAGGGGAUGAGAAUUCUCUCAAGCAAUUCUGACGGGGACGGGGACAUACGCAAAAUAUCGGGGAUGGGUAUGGGGAGAUUGGUCCCCUCCCCAUUGCCAUCCCUAGUUUCAAAGCUCAUACUUCAACAUUCUCCACCUUGAGCUUGAAACCCUCAUGAACCUGCUACUCUUCUCUUCAACUACUUGUCACUUACUCUUGACAGAUUCUUGCUAAUUCUAAGCAAAGCUUAAACUUAGCAGUUGUAACUGAUUUAGUCAGCAUAUCAGUAAUAUUCGUUUGUAUGAAUCUUCUGCAGCUUCACUGUUGCUUUUGACACUUCCAGCCUUAUGAAAUGCACUUUGAUAUCGAUAUGCUUGGUUCUUUUAUGGUGUGUUUGAUUUUUGCUUAAACAAAUAACACUCUAGCUGUCACAGUUUAUUACUAUUGACCUCUGAUCAACACCAAGCUGUUUAAGUAUUCCCUUUAGCCAGAUUGCUUCUUUAACUGCUUCUGCAGUAGCUAUGUAUUCAGCUUCUGUUGUUAAAAGUGCCACAACACUCUACAUUUGAGCCUUCCAAUUGACAGUACAAUUGUUGAAUAUGAAAAGAUAUCCUGUAAGUGACCUUCUUCUAUCUAGGUCCCCAGCAUAAUUAGCAUCCAUAUAGCCAACAGUCUAACUGUUAUCUUGUCUUUGUCCUCUAUACAUUAAACUAUAUGUUGUUGUUCCAUUUAGGUACCUGAGUAUCCAUUUUACAGCCCGCCAAUGUUCCUUACCAGAUUUGCCAUAUACCUGCUUCCAACACUCACGACAUGGGAUAAACCAGGUCUAGUUAAGACCAUAGCAUACAUCAGACAACCUACAACACUUGCAUAAGGUAUAUUCAUCAUCUCAGACACUUCAUCUUAUGCUUUUGGACACUGUUGUUUAGAUAACCUGAAAUGAGGUGCUAAAGGAGUUUGAACUGGCUUUGAGUUUGCCAUUCCAAACUUAUCAAGUACCCUUAUGAUGUAUUCUUCAUGACUAAGAAACAAAAUUCCAGAUUUUCUGUCUAUAUGUAACUACAUUCCUAGAAUUUUCUUUGCUGGACACAAAUCCUUCAUGUCAAACUCUCCCUUAAGUUUCUGUUUCAAGUUUUCAAUUAGACUCAUACUCACACUGGCAAUGAGCAUAUCAUCUACAUACAAUACCAGAUAAACUAUCACCCCUGACUCCUCUCUGAAAUAGACACAACAAUCCACGUUACACCUCUGAAAAUUUUGCUCCAACAUAAAACUGUCAAAUCUGAGGUACCACUGUCUUGGAGACUGUUUAAGUCCGUACAGAGAUUUCUUCAGUUGACAAACCUAAUCAGCCUUUGAUUCAUCUAUAAAACCUUCAGGUUGUGCCAUUACAAUAUGCUUUUGUAACUCCCAUGUAAGAAUGUUGUUUUUACAUCCAUUUGUUCAAAGUGCAUAUUGUUUACAGCCACCGGUGACAGGAUGAUUCUUAUAGAGGCAUGCCUUACUACAUGUGAAAAUACCUCAGUAAAAUCAAUGCCCUCCUUUUGAGUGAACCCCUUUGCAACAAGUCUAACUUUGAAUCUCCUUGGUUCCACCCUUGAGAUGCCGUGCUUGAGUUUGUAAAUCCAUUUGCAGGCUAUCACUUUCUUCUUUUCUGGUUUUCACAAGUGCCCAGGUGUCAUUCUUAUACAAGGAAUCCAUUUCCUUUUUCAUGGCUUUCAACCACUGGUCUGCAUUCUUCCCUGAAACAGCUUCCUUAUAUGAUUUAGGUUCAUCAUAGUCUAGUUCAUAAGCUACUGUCAAUGCAUAUGCAAUCAAAUCUGCAUAUGCAUACUUUUUAAGUGCCCUUAUAACUCUCCUUUCUCUAUCCCUGGCUAGCUGAUAAUCCUGCAAUGCUGUUUGACUGUCUGGAGUUUCAUUAGAAUCAUUUAUUUCUCUGCAUUCAUCUUCUACUACCUCAUCAGAUAUUGUAUUUCCAAAUUUUUGAGUAAGCUCCACCUUAAUCUGAUUAUUAGGUAAACCAAAGUCCUUGUCUAUGUCUCUAAGUUUCUGUGUAUAACUAUUAAGCAUUUCUUGUUCAUUGAAGACCACAUCUUUACUUACUAUACACCUAGGUAGUUUUAAAUUAGUUCACCAAAUCCUAUAACCUUUUAUACAUUCAGGAUAUCCAAGAAAAACACAUUUUAAAGCCCUAGGCUCAUGUUUCCCUUGUUUUACAUGUGCAAAUGCAGGGCGACCAAAUAUCUUCAAAUCAAAAUAGUUUGCAGCCUUGUCAGACCACAUCUCUACAGGUGUUUUAAAGUUUAUGGCACUUGAUGGACUUUUGUUGACUAGAUAGCAAGAUGUCAUCAAUGUUUCAGCCCAUAAAGACUGAGGAAGUUUUGAAUGAAUCAACAGACACCUUACUUUAUCCAUGAGUGUUCUGUUCAUCCUCUCAGCAAGUCCAUUUUGCUGUGGAGUAUGCCUUACUGUCUUGUGUCUUACAACUCUAUUAUGAGCACAGAAAUCAUCAAACUGUUGAUUGCAGAAUUCCAAUCCAUUAUCAAUCCUUAGCCUCUUGACCUUUCUACUGGUUUCUGUUUCUACUAGUGUUUUCCAUUACUUAAACUUCUCAAAGACUUCAUUUUUACCCUUCAAAACAUACACCCAAACCAUUCUAGAAUAGUCAUCAUUCAAUGAUAGGAAGUAUUUAGCUCCAUCUAAAGAUACUGUCUGUGCUGGCCCCUACAGAUCAAAGUAGAUGUAAUCUAAGGUCCCCUUAGUCUUAUGCACUGCAGUUUUAAAGCUAGUUCUAGAGGAUUUACCUAGAACACAUACCUCACAGAACUCAACAGGACAUAAUUUAUCACCCCUUAAGACUCCCUGACUUUCUAAGACUUUUAGCCCAUUCUUACUCAUGUGCCCCAAUCUCAUAUGCCAUAUAAGUGUCUUAUUAAGAUUCUGACUUGUUGAGACACUAACCUCCCCUGACACAGCAAUUUGUUGCAGCACAUACAAGCCAUUAUUUUUAGUCCCCUUCAUUAUCACCAUUGACCCUUUAAUAAUCUUCAUAACACCAGAUUAUAUUUUAAUGGUACAACCCAUUUGAUCAAGAAUUCCUAGGGAUAUUAAGUUCCUCUUUAAAUCAGAAACAUGCCUAACUUCAUUAAUCACCCCAUCAAACAUCUUAAGUCUAAUGGUUCCAAGACCAAUUAAUUUGCAAAGUGAGUUGUUUCCCAUCAUAACUUCCCCACCAUUAAAAAGCAUAUAAAUGGAAAAAAAAACAAGAUUCUUAUCAGGGCACAUGUGAUAAGUACAUCCAGAAUCUAGAACCCACUUACCAUUGGUUUGAGUUCCAGUGGCCAAAAGUACACUAGUUGAGUCAUAGCCAUCAUCAUCCAUUUCUUCGGAUGCAACAUCAACAUCUCUAUUCUUUUUGAGCCCAUCGUUUCCCUUGUUCUUUCUUUCUGAACAGUCUCUCUUGAAAUGUCUUUCUUUGUGUCACUGGAAACAUUUCAGAUUCUUAUUCUUUGACUUAGACUUCCCUCAUUUUUUGUUCUUGUUAUUGUUAUCUUUUUUUUUCUGGUCUACCCCUUAUUGUUAAGCUUUCUCCAUCAUUUACUUCUGACUUCUUUGUCACCUCUUUAGAACUGAGAGAAUAUUUUACAUCAGCCAUUGUAAUUGACUACCUUCCAUACAACAAAGUAUCUACAAUAUGUUCAUAGGAAGAUGGGAGAGAUGAUAACAAGAUUAUUGCCUUGUCUUCAUCUUCCAGUUUCAUGUUGAUAUCUUCAAGAUCAAGAAUGAUCAUGUUGAAGUUAUCAACAAAAACUUUUCAUUUGUUUAAUUGCUCAUGCCACAUAGUAUCACCUAUACUCUCAGUGACUUGACCAAUAGUUCAAUAAGUCAUUUGUAACCUCGAUAACCCCGUCAGUAGUUUAGUACGUCACCUGCAACCUUAAUGACCUAGUCAGUAGUUCAGUAAGUCAUUUGUAACUACGCGCAAUGAGCUAAAACCUUAAAUACAAUUUUAAAUAUUUCAAUAUGAAUCAUUGAGUAAUAUUUCGGUAAAACUCUCUUAUAAGACAUUGAAUUGGCAAAGCUUUAUGAAUAUUUUAAAGAAAAAUAAUUUAUGGAAAGACAAUUUAAAAGUCAUUUUAAAAAUAAUUUAAGAAGACAUUUUAAAUAAACUUUUAAUCAAAAUAUAAUUUGUUAUCCUAAGUUAUAAGAGUAAAAUAACUUCAAAACCAUAAAAUGCCAAUCCAUAUGAACACGAUUAUUCAUUUCGUAGAUAUUUACAUAUAUAACUAUAAUAAACAUUAUGCAUGAAUUUAUUUACCUUGAUCCAAAGCAACCAAUAAUAAUCCCAAUCACAUAAGCUCACUCUUAGCCUAUAAUUAUUAAGGUAAGCUUCUUACCAAUAUUUAUUCAAUUCUGACCUUGAUAAUAAAACAUAAAAAUCCUUAAACUAUUUACUCUUAUUUAAGCACAUCAAUUCAUUAAACUACACUAGACCAUUUUACAAGAGCUGAUUUCUAACAAGUUAAAAUUAUGUCAAAAAAACUAUAAAUAUUACGAAAAAACUACUAUGAACAUAUUGGCAUUCAAUAUAAAAGUUAACAAGAUUAAUUAGAGUUCAUAAACAUCUCUGAAAACUAAUUUUCCCCGAAAACAUCAAAACUGCCCAGUGAUGAUAUAAUAGAAGACGGUUGAUUCAAAAAUUCAAAACUUUAGUUAUAUGUAUUCAAAGUUUUGACAAUUAGAGGAGACAAUACAGAAUCAUAAUUAAAAUUUUUAAGGCAUUUACUAAUUAAAAAAAUGACCCAAACUCGCUUCAAUAUCAACUCUCGUAAUUUUAGAAAACAGUUUACAAGAUUGUGGCAACCCAACUCUAUGAUUUUUAUAUAAAGCCAAAAAUUACGAAAUUAAGGGCAUUUAGGUUAUGAAAUAAAUUAUAAAAGUGAGAAUUGUUGCUAAAAAUCAGAAUUUUCCAGCACCAGAGUUCCAACUUCAAAAAAUCAAAACAAUUAAUAUACAAUGAGUUUUUGAAUGAUCAACAUAUGGAUUGAAAGACAAAGAUACCAAGUUCAAUAACUAUAAAGUUUUAUGCAUGAAACGUAAUGAUAACAAUAGUAUUAUAAUAUUGUAUCUAUAUUGUUCAUAACUUUCAGGAUAACAUAAUAGCACUACCUUCACUCAAUAAAAACAUAAAUCAAUACUUUUACAAUUGCAAAAUUUAGAGUUGCUAUUCACGAUUGCAAGCUUUUUGACUUAAGAAGCAGAGGAUACCCAUUUACUUGGUCAAACAAGCAGCUUGAUAAUGUUUUAUUGAGGAAAAACUGGAUAGGUUUAUGUGCAAUUAAGGGUGGAAAACUGAAUUUUAUGAUGACUUGGCUGCAAAUUUAGUUCAUUGGGAGUCUGAUCAUAGCCCAAUCAUGAUAGAGAUCAAUGGGAGACAGAGGAGCCUAAUGUAUGAGAAGAAAACCUUCACUCUAUCAAUUAUAAAGACAUGUGGAGCUUUUAUGAAACAUGUAGGAGCAUUGCGAAGGAGGAGUUGUCCAAAUGGUACACUAGCAAUGAAGCAAGUCAAGUCCAUAUGUUUUAAACUAUUGCUAAAAGAUCAACGGAACAACUGAUUCUUUGGAGCCACGAAAACAUUUGGUGGUAGAGAUAAGAAACUGAAAAAGCUAGUGAAAAGGUUGAAACAAGCUAAAGAGAGAGAGGAUCAAUAUGAAAAGGGGAAUGAAAUCAAAAGAAUUGAAAAGCAAAUUCAAAGCAUGCUGAUGGAUGAAGAGGUGUACUGAAAACAGAGGUCAAUGGCUGACUGGUUGAAAGAAGGGGAUAAGAAUAUCAAAAUUUUUCAUGCCAAAUCUUCUUUGAGAAGGAGAAAGAACUUGAUUAAGGGCAUUAAAGAUAAUUUAGAGAUUUGGCUUGAGGAUAUGGGGGAUAUAGAGAGCAAAUUAUGUGACUAUUUUCAAGGUUUUUUUCACUACUUCACAACCAAAUAUGGCUCAAGUAGAGGCUGCUUUGCAGAGAAUGAGCCUAAAAGUUGACUCAGGGAUAAAUGCUUUCUUAGAACAGCCUUUUUACAGCAGAGGAAAUCCAAUCAAACUUUCUCAAAUGUGCCCAGCAAAGGCUCUAGGCCUAGAUAGAUUACAAGCUAUUUUUUUUCUAAAAGCCCUAUAAAGUUGUUAAAAUAGGAGUCAUUUCAACUUGCCUUUAUGUUCUAAAUCAGCAAGGUACCAAUACUCCACUAAACAAUACAUACAUUGCUUUGAUUACCAAAGUUGUUAAGCCUAGAAAAGUCAUUGACUACAGACCAAUCAGCCUUUGUAAUAUGAUAUUUAGACUAAUAGCCAAAGUCAUAGCUAAUAGGUUAAAACAAAUCCUUCAUUAUAUUAUAUCACCAAUGCAGAGUGCCUUUGUUCCAAAUAGAUUGAUAACAUAUAACAUUAUUAUUGGCUAUGAGUGUUUACAUAAGAUUAAGCAUAGCAAGGGAAAAAAUAAGGGUUCAGUGGCUCUAAAGCUAGCUAUAAGCAAAGCUUAUGACAUGGUUGAGUGGUCUUUUUUAAGGUAUACUAUGGAAAGACUAGGCUUCUCCAACAAAUGGAUAAACUUAAUUAUGGACUGUAUAACCAUCCCUUUUUUUCUAUGUCAUUAUUAAUAGUGUUGCAAAGGGCCUUAUACACCCUCAAAGGGGUUUAAGACAAGGUUGCCCCUUAUCUCUCUACUCGUUCUUCAUGUGUGCAGAGGUUUUUUCUAAUAUGCUGAUGAAUACAGAGGAAAAAAAAAACUAAUCCAUGGCCUGAAAUUUGAUGAAAAAUCUUACAGUCUCAUAUUCAUAAAGGCUUCCAUAAAAGAUUGCAAACAUUUGAAAAAAAUAUUUAAUUGUUAUGCAGCAGCUUCUGGACAACUCUUCAAUUUCGAGAAGUUUUCUAUGUUUUUCAGUGGCAAAGUCUCAGGAGAGUAAGUGGCAGCAAUUAAAAAAAAAAUUCAACUUAAUGUAGUCUCCAGACAUGAAAUGUAUUUAGGAUUACCUUCAAUGGUGGCUAGAAAGAAAACAAGUUUCUUUAAUGAGCUUAAGCUUAGGGUCUUGAAUAAAGUCUCUAGUUGACAACACAAGCUGUUUUCCAAUAGGAGCAAAGAGAUUCUUAUUACGCCAGUUGCCAGGCAGUCCCAGCUAUACCAUGAGCAUCUUUACAAUCCUUUUAGGCCUUUGUAAUGAUAUCUAGAGAGCCAUUGCAAGGUUUUGGUAAGGGUGAAAGGAGGAUAAGAAAAGGAUCUAUUGGACAAAAUAAGAAAGAAUGAGUUGUGCCAAAAGUAGAGGAGGGGUAGGCUUCAGAGAUAUGUCAAGCUUUAAACAAGCCUGAGUUGCAAAGCGAGGGUGGAGGCUAAUUCAAUACCAAGAUUCAUUGAUGGCGAAAGUUAUGAAAGAUAUAUACUUUAGGCAAAAUGACUUUUUGAAGGCUAAGGCAUGUUAUAACCCCUCAUUCAUAUAGAGAACUAUGUUAUGAGGUAGGCAGGUUCUUCAAAAAGGCCUGAGAUGAAGAAUGAGAAGGGGAGACAAAAUCUUAAUUCAGUCCAGCAACUGGCUUCCCAAACCUACAAUUUUCAAACCAAUUAUCAGGCCAUCUUUGCCCAUAGAAGCUAAAAUAUCAGAACUCAUUGGCUCAGAUCACUAGUGGAAUGAAAGAUUAAUUGAUGCAAAUUUUGCAAAUGAGGAUGCAUAGUGUAUAAAAGUAAUACCACUUCUUAGAACUCCACAAGAGGAUGUGUUGUUAUGACACUAUGACAAAAAGGGGAUGUACUCAAUAAAGAGUGGUUAUCAUAGAGCCCUCAACUUUAAAUUCUCUAAACUUCCAACAGGUUCAAAAAGGGGAUUGCAGGGAUGGCACAAAAUCUGGAGGUUAGAUUUACCAGAGAAGAUCAAGAUUUUUUUAUGGAGAACUGUAAGGAAUUUGCUAACAACGGCUGAUAAUUUGUGGAAGAGAAAGGUCAUGCAGGAACCGAUAUGCCAGAUGUGCAAAGCUAAGUGUGAAGAUAUUUUCCAUGCUCUGAUGGAAUGCAAGGUGGCUAGGAAAAUUUAGAAAUUCACGCACUUGGAAGAUGAAGUUAAACAGAUUAUUAGAAAAGACAUAUUGAGUGUGAUGUAUAAAUAAUAGACAGCUUGGAUAAUAAUGAGUUUAACUAUAUAGCUGCAAUAUGGUGGAUUACGUGGAAUGCAAGAAACAAGCUUAUCUUUCAAGGGAAGAGGCCAAAUCUCAUUUUAUUAGCAACCAAAGCUAGAGUUGUUAUGGAUGCUUACAAAAAAGUGUAGGGAAAGCCAAAAGAAUCCAAAACAGAUUUUCAAACUAGGAAGCAACAUGAAUGGAAACCACUGUUGAGUGUUAGAAAAUGCAUAUUUAUAAAGGAGAAAACCGUCAUUUUACAUUUCAAGUUUUACUACCAACCCUUACUUUUAUGUAUUUAACCUUCUUGUGAUUUAAUUACAUGUGUUUUAUUUUAAUUAAGCAUUUUAUGUAGUUUAGGGGCAUUAUAGUCAUUUCACAAUAAAUGAGAGAUCAGACGGCAAAACGGACAUCACUUUUGAACUCAGGACGGUCGAAAACCUUAGGAGGAGUAUAAAAGGAAAAAUGGAACUAUUCAUAUGUACGGUAUUGCCUACAUUACUGUUCACGACACUGUUCACAUAGACGGAUCGAUGACGUGGCAUUGGCCGAUGAUGUGGCAUUGACUGAUGAGGUGUCACGAUCCUGUUGGGCUAAAAUUCUUAUGUACUGUUGAUGGUGACGUGGCAGCAUAUCAGUGGACGAAAAAUCUCGCGUACGGUACAUGCAUCACACAGGAUUAUUUUCAACCAAACCGCAUCACUGUUCACUCGGGUCAAACCGUGUUACUGUUCAUCCGCGUGGUCAAACCGUGGACUCUGCUGUACGGCCAAGGCGGAUGUACGGUACAGCAGGUGGCGCAAUCCUGAGCGUCCAAACUGUUUUUAAUCCUAUGGCCAUGAUUUACUCCAUGUAUCUAUAAAAAAAGGGCCUCUCACCCUUAAUUUGAUAUCUCUGAAUCCAUUUUUGGGAUCCAUUUUCUGUAAUUCCCUUUUCAUCUUGUAUUUUCUUCGUAUUUUAAUAAAUUCUCAUUUUGCCUCUAGUUCAAUUAUGAGUGGCUAAUUUUCUUUCAAGCUUGGGUUGAAGGUGAAGUCUCAACAUGUGUCAUGGGCUUAAUUUGGUAAAUUUAUUUUCUCUUCCCCUCUAAUUUUUGUGGAUGUUUUGACUUCUCGUCGACAAAUAAUACUAAUCUUGUCUAGUACCGCCUUGGUUUCACCGGCCCUCUAGUACAAGGUUAUUAUUAUUUGGCACGAUAAGCCCUUAGCACCAUAUUGAUUAGAGUGUGGUUCAUGAGGUGUGGAUUCCCCCCUCAUGAUUUAAUUGGCAUUAAUACGGAUUAUUUAACCCAUGAUGCAUGUUGAUACGGAUCUAGAUACCCAAGUAUGUCAUUUCAAUAGAUUUCGCUUCAAUUUAUUCUCGCCAUUGCAAUUCCAAUUUUAGGAUAAUUUAAAUCACUUCUACCACAAUUUCAACCACCCAUUUACAAAAUUAAUUCUACAUAUAAUUAAAAUCCACCUCCUCGUGGGAUCGACACUCGUCACCAUUGAUCUAUAGUACAAUAGAUUCGUGCACUUGCGAGUACAUUAAAAUUUCCACAACAACCACUACCUAUCAAUCAUUAUAAAAUUAAUGUUGAUGCUGCUGUUCAGAAUAAUAAGCAGAAAAGGGGAUUGGGGGUUGUGAUAAGGAACUCAUCAGGGUAGGUGAUAGCUGCAGCAAUCAAAAAUAUAAUUUUUUCAUAGGAAUGCGGUCUUUCUAGAAGCUCAAGCUAUAGAGUGGGUUUUGGAGGCCACGAAGGAGGUAAACCUCGCUAACUUGAUAAUGGAAACAAACUGUAGUGAGGUGGCUGACCUGGUCAACAACAAAAUCAGCAACAAAACAGAGAUAUGGUGGACAAUUUCGAAGAUCCAAAAAAGCAGUAGAGAUUUGCAAUCUCUUGUAGUCCAAUAUGUGCCAAGGCAAUGCAAUGCCAUUGCCCACUCUCUUGCCAAGAGAACUUUGAAAAGCUCGGAUACUGUCAUUUGGUCAGGUGAAUACCCAACAAAUGUUUUGUUAUUGUUCUCUAAUUCUAGUUGAAUGGAAAGUUUCAUUUUCUUAAAAAAAAAAAACAUAAAUCAAUACAUGAUCAUGCUUUCAUAAUUAUAUCAAUAUAACGCACACAAAAUCAUUCAAUCAAUCACAUAAAAUCACAAAUAAAACUAGAAUUUUAAAGGAUUAUAAAUUCUUACCUACUUCAAAACAAAAACUAAAACUCAAGAACUUGUUUUAUGGAAAUAUACUUCAAAACUAAAAGCUAAAUCUUAUCCUAUUCUUAAAAAAAAAACGCGAGUUCACUCUUAUGUAUGCUGCUGUAUAUAUAUAUAUAUAUAUAUAGCUUUUAGGGUUUUGAGAAACAAAGCAGCGUACGAGGAAUUUUUAUAAAGCCAAGGUUUUUAGCACUCUUACCUAUUAAGAAAUAUAUUUCCUCUUUUCAUGAGGUAAUUAAUAAAUGGGUAAAUCAAAUAAAUACAAAUAAAUAAAGAAAAAUUAAAAAACCCUUAGAAUUAUUUGCCUAAAAUACUAUUUUCUCUAAAAUAGAUAUAUAAUAAUAAUAAUAAUACAACAAAAAAAUAACGGGUGUUACAUUUGCUACUAAUUUUAUAGCAAUUGGGCUUGCACUCAUUGGGUUUAUCAGUGCUUUUUGGGUCCUUGGUGUAUUCCACCUAGUUUAUCUAGUAUUAUUCAUCUGGAUGCACAGGAAGUCCCUCAUGUUAGACAAUAGUGUUGCAUAUCUUUUUUGGUUUAUUGCCGUGCUUACUUGCCUUUAUUAUGUAUUUUUCUUUGUGACUAAAGAUUUUGAUUCUUAUCCCCCUCCUUAUGUUUUCCUCCAUUCUUUGAUCUAUACUAUAGGUAGAGGUCCGGCCUAACCCCCAAUCAUGUUGGUGGUUUUAAAGAAAAAAAAUUCAUUUCAACUUUUUCUGGCUCUAGGUUGAGAUUUGCUGAAAGCUUGAGUUCCCAAUCGUGAAGCCUCUUGAAUCCUUGGCGAGGGUCGGCCUAACGGAUCUGAGCCAGAUUGGCCUCGGACCUUUUUUGUUGUCUCUAGUACUUUUCCUAUAUUGUGUUGCCCCAACAAUAACAAUUAUUGAAUGAUUCUCUUCUCUUAAUAAUAAUUAAUGGCUUUCAACUUCCUCAUUUCAAAUUAGGGUUGGCACAUACAAAACAAGUGCUUGUGUCCUAUAUUUAAACUUCGUUUGUUAUAGUUUUUCAAAUACAACUUCUAUAAAUAGAAUUUUUAUUAGCAGAGUUUUUAUAAAUAAAGUUUUAGUAAAAAGAAAUUAUUUAUUUGGUUGUCCAUACGAGUUUUUAUUAAAAAUUAUAAAAUUACUUAAAUAGUUAAGGCUUGUUAAAGUAAUGUUAUGAAAUGAAUGAAAUAAGAUUAUUAAACUAGUGAAUGAUAUUUUAGAAAUUAGAACAUUUAAAAAAAAAAUUCAAUUUGUACUCUUAAAAGUUAGAAGUAAAAUACCGUGUACAAUAACAAAACAAUAAAAAAUAAUAAUAUAAAGAGCUUAUUUAAUUAAAUAAAUAUUUAUAAUUAUUUGAUAAAUUAUACCAAAUAGGCACUUAGCCACAAGAUCAGCUUUAGUAUACAAUCGCAAGGAAUAAUUUUAAAGUGCUUCCACGUGUCUCUCUCCUUUUACACACGUUUUGCAAACAAAUGAUCAGAGCUUUAGAAGGUAACAUCGAUAUGUUAGAUUAUUUUUUAAUUAAUCUAAUAUUUGGGGCCACACAUGAAACAAAUAAAAUGUGUGCGCUAUUAUUUAGUUAGCCAAUAAUUAAGUGAUCUAAUUAAUAUAAUUAAAUGGCUAAGGGUAUAAUUGUUGUGGGUUAAAUGUAUAGAUACCUGAGUUUUAAUUAUCACUUUAAUGAGGGGUUGAAGUGAUAAUAAACACAUGAGAACUGCUAAACGAUUUUUAUUAAAACCGUCAGUUACGAUUAUUUUAAAAAGGAGGUUGUGGUCCCCAAUCUCUCUUAACUCUUAGUAAUUCUAAAAAAUCUCUCAACAAGAAUUCUUAAUCAAAGAGAAGAGAUUAGAUUGGAAGACCAUCACCAAAAUCAAGAAUUUUUUGUAUAACAACAAUGGAUUCAGGUACGCUUAUGAAAUUAUAGUACUCAAUAAUUUUAAUCUGGAUUUUUAUGAAGAUUUAGGGAAUAACAAGUGGCAUCAGAGCCUCAUCCAUGAUUAAAUUAUUGAGUUGCAAUUUUUGAUUAAUGGUUAUAUUCGAAUGAAAUUGUUUAUCCUUGACUUAGUUAUUGGGAAAAGUUGAAAUUGGUUUUGUUGGCCUCAUGGCGAAACGAAACUACUGGUGUUGCACACGUGAAAUCAUGUGCAAAGUUCGAGAUUAAAUUAAACCACUUAAUUGUCUUAAUUGCAUAUUUGUUUUUAUUCUUGUGAACAUUUAGAUUUCCAAGUUCGGUGGUCAAGUAUGCUACAAUUUCGGUUUAAUAGUGUUUUUAAAUUAAACCACUUCAAUUAAGUUUUAUUGGCCGUGAUUUAAAUGAAAUAGAUUUGAUUGAGUUGGCAAGUUUCAGUUUUGAUGUACUAAUAAUCAUAAAUUGCUUUGAGUUUAAUUGGCCACGGUUUCGGUUUUAAUUUUAAUGAUAAUAUGUAAUUCAAAUCAAUUAAAUUAAAUUUGAAGUGGCUUGUUUCAGUUUUGAUAUAAUAAUAAUAUCAGUUUACUUUGAAUUUGAAUUGGCCAUGUUCUAAUUUCGGCUUCGGCUUAAUUAUAAUUUUAAAUUAAAUCAAAUCAAUAAAGAUGCAGUGGCCAUGUAUGUCACGGUUUCGGGUUUAAUAAUGAUUUCAAAUUCAAUCACAUGAAUUGAGUUUUUUAAUUCUUCCAGUGGCCAUGUUUUAAGUGCAUUAUAAUUGGUUUCAAACUGGGCAAAUAUAUAAUAUGCUAAUGAAAUCAAAUCAAUUUAAUUUGUAUAUUUCCGGUUUUAUAAUUUUUAAAUUAAAAUGCUUCGUAACAUUUAUGUUAAUUAUUGGUCUAACAUUAAAAAUAUACUAAUUAAAGCGGGAAGUCACCAAAGUGAUGUCUCUUGUGUAGAUUAGUUUAUUUGGGAUGUUAGAUGUUUGUGUUUGUAUAAUUCCUGCAGAUGUUAAUCGACUCAAAGGAAGGUUAAUAUUUGGCCUAAUUGCACACACACUUGUGAUGGUAAAUUUGUGAUGAUUAUUAGGAUAAUUUAAUGUGAGUAAUGUACUAAUCCAAAGAUAGAUUCAUUACUUGACAUAACUUAUUGUCAAAAUUUGAUCAUUGCAACAAGAGUACCAUUUACAGUUAGUAUUAUAAUCCAAAGACUUGUUACUAAUGUUGUGCUAGGUAUCUUGAAUUGUUAUAAUUUGCUUUUAAAUUUUUAAAGAUUGUUAAUUGAGAUGUUUAAUGUGACCAUUAUUUAUUUAUUUAUAUUUUAUUUAUUUUUGUUCUCUAUUCAGCUUUUUUGUCUGCUACUUCUAUAUUUGCAAAUAUGAAUAGUGUCUCGGUUAUGAAUUAGACUAAUUUUAAGGACUGAAAAGAGAAUAUGAUGAUUCUCUUAGGCUGCAUGGAUCUAGAUUUAUCAUUCAGAUACCCUAAGCCGGACGAACUCACUGAUGAUAGUACAUCUUAGGAUGUGUUGUACUAUGAGAAGUGGGAUCGAUCUAAUAGGAUGAGUCUUAUGAUCAUGAAGCGCAGUGUUCCAUAAGUAUUUAGGAGUGCUAUAAGCAAUGAGGUUACAAGUGCUAGUGAGUUUCUUGCCGAAAUUCAAAAUCGUUUUACAAAAAACGAUUAGGCUGAAAUAAGUACACAUUUAGCGAGCUUGAUUUCAAUGAAGUAUAAAGGCAAGGGAAACAUUCGGGAGUACAUCAUGGAGAUGUCUCAUCUUGCUUCUAAGCUUAAGGCAUUAGGGCUCAACCUAUCUGAUGAUUUGGUUGUGCAUUUGGUCCUUAUCUCUCUCCCAGCACAAUUUAAUCAGUUCAAAGUCAGUUACAACUGUCAGAAAGAGAAGUGGAAUUUCAAUGAACUGAUUUCCUUUUGUGUGCAAGAAGAAGAGAGAUUGAAGCAAGAGAAAACCGAAUAUGCACAUGUGGUAAGCACUUCUAAAGAUAAGGGCAAAAGAAAGAAAAAGGGUAAAGCUGCUACUUCUAAGGGUCCAGAUCCAAAGAAACCAAAAGCCGGGCAUGGCUGUUUCUUCUGCGGCAUGCCUGGACAUGUGAAGAAGAAAUGUCAAAAAUAUCACGCAUGGCGCGUAAAGAAAGGUACAUUUCUGCGUAAAGAAAGGUACAUUUCUUACUUUGGUUUGUUCUGAAACUAAUUUAGCUUCAGUACCAAGAAACACAUGGUGAAUAGAUUCAGGUGCUACUACUCACAUUUGUGUUUCACUGCAGGGUUGCCUGAGCUACCGGCCGCCAAGUGAUGCUAAAAAAUGCAUUUAUGUAGGAGAUGGCAAGACGAUGGAAGUUUAAACAAUUGGACAUUUUAGAUUACUUAUGAAAACUGGUUGUUAUUUGGAUUUGUUAGAUACUUUUGUUGUUCAGUCUUUUAGACGGAAUUUGAUUUCAGUUUCGGUUUUGGACAAAUCUGAUUAUUCUUGUUCAUUUGUAAACAUACAAUUUAGUUUAUCUAUCAAUUCUAAUGUUAUUAGAACCAGUUUGCUUAAUGCUAAUGGCAAUCUAUAUUUGCUAGAAACUGUUUUAAGUUAUAAUGAAAACAUGCAUUUUAGUUCCAGAGGUACAAAGCGUAAAUUAGAGAAAGAAAAUUCGGCCUCAUUAUGGCACAAACACUUAGGUCAAAUCUCUAAAGCUAGAAUUGAGCGAUUAGUAUCUGAUGGGAUUUUAGGAUCUUUUGAUUUUAUAGACCUUGAUGUUUGUAUUGAGUGUAUCAAGGGAAAACAAACCAAAAGUAAGAAAUUUGGUGCCUACAGAACUUCAGACAUCUUAGAAUUAAUUCAUAUAGACAUCUGUGGACCAUUCCCCACGGCUACUUAGAAUGGUCAACAAUAUUUCAUUAUCUUCAUAGACGACUAUUCGAGAUAUGGCUAUAUAUUCCUGAUUCAUGAAAAAUCACAGUAUUUGGAUGUGUUCAAAACGUUUAAAGCCGAAGUUGAGUUACAACUCAACAAAAGGAUUAAAGGUGUCAGGUCUGAUCGUGGUGGUGAAUACUACGGUAGAUAUGAUAGUUCAGUUGAACAACGUCCAGGACCGUUUGCUAAAUACCUAGAAAAUGUGGAAUUGUCCCUCAAUAUACCAUGCUAGGAUCGCCUAGCAUGAAUGGUGUAUCUGAGAGACGAAAAUGAACUCUUAAGGAUAUGGUGAGGAGUAUGAUUGGUCAUUCUACUUUACCAGAAUGACUCUGGGGCGAAGCACUCAAAACAACAACUUAUAUCUUAAAUCGAGUGCCAACUAAAGCGACUGCUAAAACGCCAUAUGAGCUUUGGACAGGUCGAAAGCCUAGUUUAAAGCAUUUACAUAUUUGGGGAUGUCCAGUUGAAGCGAGGCCUUAUAGGCCUCAUGAAAAGAAAUUGGACUCCAAAACUGUAAGCAAUUACUUUGUUGGCUAUGCGGAGCGAUCAAGGGGGUUUAAGUUUUAUGAUUCUAGUGCACAAUUAAUUUUUUAGACGGGAACUGCAGUAUUUUUUGAGGAUGUUGAGUUUGAGGAGAGAAAUCCAGUGAGGACAAUUGUCUUUGAAGAGGAAGAGAUAUCCAUUGUUGCUUUUGACAAUGUAGAUGUUUCAAUACUUGUCAUUGAGAAAGAAGUAAAUUUGGAUCCUCAAUCAUCAGACAAUAUUGUUCAACCCCUCAUUCAAAAUGAGAUAAUUGUUCAUGAGAAUCAAACUCAACAACCUCAAGAGCCUGUGCAAUUAAGACGAUUCACGAGAGAAAUGAGAAAUGCAAUUCCGGAUGAUUACAUAGUAUUUCUUCAAGAACAUGAGGAUAAAACUAGAGUGAUGGAAGACGAUCCAACCAAUUUCUAUCAAGCCAUGCAAGGUUCCAACUCUCACAAAUGGAUUGAAGCCAUGAAUGAAGAGUACAAGUCGAUACAAGACAAUAAAGUUUGGGAACUUGUCGCAUUACCUUCUGGUGUGAAGCCCAUUGGUUGUAAAUGGAUAUUUAAAACCAAAAGGGAUUCAAAUGGUAAUGUGGAGAGAUAUAAAGCACGUCUUGUAGCUAAAGGCUUUACUCAAAAUGAAGGAAUUGACUAUAAAGAGACUUUCUCUCCGGUUUCUACGAAAGACUCUUUUAGGACAAUUAUGGCACUUGUUGCACAUUUUGAUCUUGAGUUAUAUCAUAUGGAUGUUAAGACAACAUUCCUCAAUGGUGACAUUGAUGAAAUAAUUUAUAUGGUACAACCAGAAAACUUUGUGUCAGGAGAUCCAAAGAAUAUGGUUUGUAAGCUAACCAAAUCCAUAUAUAGGCUCAAACAAGCUUCUCGUCAGUGGUACUUUAAGUUUCAUCAAAUAAUUAUCUCAUAUGGUUUUGAGGCAAAUGUUAUUAAUGAAUGUGUAUAUCACAAGUUCAGUGGGAGUAAACAUAUAUUCAUGGUUUUAUAUGUUGAUGACAUAUUGCUUGCCACAAAUGAUAUAGGCAUACUGCACGACACCAAGAAUUUUCUAUCAAAACAUUUUGAGAUGAAAUAUCUUGAUGAUGCCUCAUUUGUUUUAGGAAUCAAGAUACAUCGGGAUCGUUCUCGAGGUAUUCUGGGAUUAUCACAAAGGAACUCUAUCGAUAAAGUUUUGAAGAGGUUUGGCAUGCAAAACAGUAAACCAUGUGACACUCCUGUCGCCAAAGGAGAUAAAUUCAACCUUAGUCAAUGCCCUAAGACCAAUCUUGAAAUCAAGGAAAUGCAAAAGAUUCCUUAUUCUUCAGCUAUAGGGAGUCUUAUGUAUGCUCAAAUAUGUACGCGUCCAGAUAUUACGUUCAUAGUUGACAUGUUAGGCAGAUAUUUGAGCAAUCCUUGCAUGGAUCAUUAGAAAGCAACCAAGCAAGUUAUGAGGUACUUACAGAGGACAAAAGAGUACAUGCUCACAUACACGAGAUCAGAUCAAUUAGAGAUCAUUGGAUAUUCUGACUCUGAUUUUGCUAUAUGCAAAGAUAGUAGAAGAUCCACAUCAGGCUAUAUUUACCUAUUGGCUGGUGGAGUAAUUUCUUGGAGAUCUGCCAAGCAGACACUCGUAGCUUCAUCGACUAUGGCAGCAGAGUUUGUAGCAUGUUAUGAGGCAUCUAAUCAAGAAAUAUGGCUGCGUAAUUUUGUCACUGGGCUGCGCAUUCUAGAGGGUGUAGAAAGACCACUCAAGAUAUGUUGUGAUAAUAAGUCAGCAUUUUUAUAUUCUAACAACAACAGGAGCUCUACAAAGUCAAAACAUAUUGAAAUCAAGUUCCUUGUUGUGAAGGAAAGAGUGCAGAGUGGAAAAAUAUCUAUAGAGCACAUUGGGACAAACUCCACGAUAGCGGAUCCGCUCACUAAAGGAUUGCCACCUAAAGUCUUUCAUGAUUGUGAUUUUUCUUGAGAAUAUUCAGAUUUAGUGGGAGUUUGUAUUAUUUACUAUGUGUGACUUUUGGAUUUUAAUUAUAUAAUUCGGAUUAUUUUCUGCAGAAAUAAAGUAUUUUAGUUCCUUACACUCUGUUAGGAUAAUUUAAGUUUCGAUCUCAAUAAAGUAAAGUAGGACCAGUUGGGAAUAGACAUGUUUAGAUCACAUUCCAUGUAAUUUCCAUGCUAUAUAUCCACAAUCGAUCUAUGUCAUUUAACUGUAUUGAUAUAUGUGACUAUGGAUGGGUUGAGUUACGACUAAUGUAACAAAGGCCGCUAUGAUCCUAUAUUGAUAUGGUUAAUGGAGGAGAUUGCCCAGAUAUACUCUAAGGACAUAAUACCAAUUUUAUGAGCUCAUUAAGUUAAACACAUUUUGUUUUCAUUUGUGGCCCAGUGGAAGAUUGUUAGAUUAUUUUUUAAUUAAUCUAAUAUUUAGGGCCACACAUGAAACAAAUAAAAUGUGUGUGCUAUUAUUUAGUUAGCCAAUAAUUCAAUGAUCUAAUUAAUAUAAUUAAACGGCUAAGGGUAUAAUUGUUGUGGGUUAAAUGCAUAGGUACCAGAGUUUUAAUUGUCACUUUAAUGAGGGGCUGAAGUGAUAAUAAAUACAUGAGAACUGUUAACGGUUUUUAUUAAAACUGUCAGUUAUGUUAUUUUAAAAAGGAGGUUAUGGUCCCCAAUCUCUCUUAAUUCUUAAUAAUUCUAAAAAAUCUCUCAACAAAAAUUCUUAAUCAAAGAGAAGAGAUUAGAUUGGAAGACCAUCACCAAAAUCAAGAAAUCUUUAUACAACAACGAUGGAUUCAGGUACGCUUCUGAAAUUAUAGUACUCAAUAAUUUUAAUAACACCAUCUUAAUUUCCUUGAAACUUUUUUUUUAUACGUUUAGUUGUUAUUUAUUUAUUUAUUCAAUGCCAGGCUGCCAGCGAACUUUAAUUUUCUCUAAUCACCCUCAAAAUGCAUUGUUUUAAAUUUCAAUCACAUUCUAUAUUCAGAACGUGUUUCAUCUCCACGUACAAUGCCAGGACAAAUCUGACAUUUCGAUAGGCAAACAAAUGAUUUUAUCAUAAUCUAAUCGUUACAUGAAAAAAAGUGAACUGUGAACCACUCAUUGUAAUAUUUUAAGAAUACUUCAAACGACUUCUGAGUCAAGUGGCCGAGUGGAUAUCAUUAUCACAAGAAUUAUGUACCUUGGCUGGGAUAAAUAUUAAUUUGGUCGAUUUGAAAGUGGUAAUAAUUUGAGUUAAACACAUAAUGUCUUGAGUCAACACGUCCGUUUAUUAUUCGUUUUAAAUACCAAUCCAAUUCCUUUAUUAAUCAUAUCAUCAUCAUCAUCAUCAUCGUGGUCAUCGUUUUAUAUAUAUAUAUAUAUAUAUACACACACCCCUUUUACUUCCAGAAAUGAUAACACGUAUCUCUUUUUUUUUAUUACAUCCUUUAAUUAUAAUAAAAUAUUUUAUAAUAAAUAUAAAUAAAAGACUAAGAUAAAAAUAAUAAAUAAAAUAGCAUAUAAGUAUAAAUAAACCAUUAUAAACAUAAUUAAUAAAAAUAACAUAUAUAUGUCAUGUAAAUUAUUUUUAAUAUUAAGCUAUUACUAGUAUAUCCUAACCGAUUUUGUUAAUAUUAUAGUUCAUUAAUUCAGAACUUAAAAAAUCUAACAAAAUAUAUAGAUUGAGACAUCAUCUGCAUCACGAAAUAAAUCAACCAAAAUAUAAUUCAGAGCUGAUUAAUUGAAUAAUUAUUCACGUAAUAAAUAUAUUCAGAAGUUGGAAAUUCUAAAUUUAAACUCAAUUAGGGAUUAUGAAACGAGUGUCCAGAACUCAACCCUUUAUAAUCAUGUCAUUUUUAUUUGAGUAAUAUAACAAAGUUACAUUAGUUUGCGCAAAAUAAAUUUUUAUUAAGAACUUGUAGCUCGAUCAUUACUCUUCUUAUUUUCAAUAAAACCUUGUAUUUUGAGUAGGGUAAUUGGACUAUGUAAAAAUUGUUGUUGUUUUUUUCUUAGGAAUUAGUAUUUAAACUGCAUAUAAUUAUUAAAUAUUAUAUAUACUCAUUAAAUUUUAACAGUAAUAAUAAUCUUACAGUUGAGAUACAAAAUUUUUAUCCCAACUGAUUUGGCAAAUGAUGUAACAAUAUCUAUCUCAGAAUCAUGAGAUAUAGAGUACUAAAAAAUGCAUUGUCUAAAUAAAUAUCCCCAAACGUCAAAAGAUAUGUUAAUACACUAUGAAAUUAUAAGUCAAAUUUUUUUAAUGGCCAAACUUAAUAGACACAGUCUAAUACGUAAUAUGGUAAGAAAAUUGAUUUUAUUUUUUUAAUAUUUGGCAAUAGUACAGUACUACUUGAUAACAUGAUAAAUGCCACCAAUCAUUCACAAAUUAAUGCACUGGUGUGUAUUAGAAUACUGCCGCCUUAACUAAUUCUAGGAGACUCUUUUUUAUAAGAAAGUAAACCUUUCAUUUAAUCACAACGCAUCAAAUGCAUUUUGAGCCUUUGUUGGUACUGUUUCUAACUAGAUAGUAUUUGUAUUUCUUCCUAAAGCAAAUUUGGCUAAGAAAUAGGCAUAAGCAUCAAAGUGUCUAGGAGCAUAUUGGACUGUAACUUUUUGGAAAUCUCUUUGUUUUCAUAUCUUUGAAAUUGUCAAACAAAUUUAUGUUCUACUGUCCUUUGUAUUGGUAACUAGCUCAACCACUUCUAAGCAAUCUGUCUCUAUGCUCAGUAAAGUUAAAGACUGCUUUUGCCACCUAAAGUCCCCACUGUAUAGCUUCAGCUUCUGCAAAGCUAAUGUUUCCCAUUAGAUGAGCCUGAUUGAUACCAACAACUAUCACCUUGCCAUUUGAGUCUCUUAUCACAACUCUCAACCUUAUCAUUUGAUCGUUGCUGCUAAUGAUUGCAUCAACAUUGAUUUUGAAUACAUUUUCAAGGGUAGGAGUCCACUUUGCAGCUUCUCAUUUAUGUGUUAUCAAUGUGUGAUGUCUUAUUUUCCUUACUCUUUGAUAGGCUUCGAAAAUUGAUUUUGCCUUAGUUGCUGAGAUACUUGGGUCUAUUAUCUUUCCUUAAAAAACGAAUUUGUUUCUUGAAUACCACACAACCUACCAAUAUGCUACCAUGAGUUCAAAAUCAGCUUAAUUUCCUUAAAUUUUUUCCCAUUUCUUGAAUAAUGCUGAGAAUGUCCUGAGAUUGAACAUUAAAGAUUUAAACUAUGAAAGGAGCUUGAAUCCAGAUCUUUUUUGCUCUCCUUUACAAUCCAAAAGAGCAUGACUUAUGGUUUCCACACUCCUUCUACAUCUUUGACAUGUUGGCUCUUGCAAAAUCUUUCUUUUCCAUAGAUUUUCAUCAGAUGGUAGCAGAGUUUUUGUUACCCUCCACAUGAAAAUCUUGAUCUUUCCAGGUAGGUCAAGAGACCAUAAUGCAUUCCAUUGUUUUGAGUUGUUUUCUGAGCUAUUGGUAGCAUUUGGAAGCUUGAUUUUAAGUGCUAGUUGGUACCCACUUUUCACUAAGUGUUCUCUCCUUUUAUCAAAAUGCCACAACACUUCAUCUUCUGAUUGUUUGUUUGGUGAUGGAAGCUUGAGAAUUACUUCUGUAUCUUCAUGCAUGAAUGGUUUAGCUUGUCCUCAUCCCAUUGAUUUUCAAAAUUGAUUAGAUCUGCCACAAAAGUAUCUACAGGUAAAGUUGGUGGAGAUAUUGGUUUGAAUGUGUCUGGCCUUGGUAAACAGUUAUCCUUAUACACUAAAAUCUUUUUUCCAUUUCCUAUAAGCCAUCUAAUUCUUUUCUUGAUCCCUUAUCUAUCCUAUAGAAUGCUUCUCCAUAUAAAGGAUGGAUUGGAGCUUGCAUUUGCACUCAAGAAAUUAGAGUUUCUAUAGUAUCUUGCCCGCAACACUUUAGAUACUAGAGAGUUGGGAAACUGAAGAAACUUCAUCCUUGCUUGGGCACCAAAGCUUGAUUGAAGCUAGUAAAAUCUCUAAACCGCAAUCCUCCUCUGCUUUUUGCAUGGCUGAGCUUGUCCCAUCUUAUUCAGUGAAUGUCAUUGCCAUGUUUAUUUUGAUUCCUACCAAAACUUCGCUAUAACCCUUUAGAUGUCAUCACAUAAACCCCUUGGAAGUUUGAAACACUCAUUGCGUAUACUGGUAUUGCUUGGGCUAAUUUAGGAUUGCAACAGUUGAUGAAAUAAGUUGUUUUUACAGUUUUGGAUAAAAGUUUAUUUAGUCUCUAUAUUAUGAAAUUAGUGCUUGUUUAGUCCUUAUAUUUUUGAAAAUAGCUCAAAACAUCUCAACCAUUAAACUAUUGACAUCCCUACUAUUAUUAUUUUUUUUUCCUUGCUUUUACAAUAUUACCCUCUUACAGUAAUUUUUUUGGGACAUUAAUAUGAGAAAAAUUAAAGUACUAGUUUAGCACCCAAAAAAUUAAAAACAUAUAUAUUAAUUUUUGUGGAAGCUCACAUAUGUCUAAAAAAAUUAAAUUACCAGUUUUUCAAAAAUUAAUAAAAAAUAAUAUAUUAACUUCUCAACAGAGUGUUUCACAAAAAUUAAUUUAUAUUCCUUUUGUUGCUAUUUUAUUUUUUGGGGUUAAGUUGGCAAUAUUUUUUUUUAUUAAUGUCCAAAAAAAGAAACAUAAUUGGAAGAGGAUAAUAUUGUAAAAGCAAUUCAAAAUUAAUAAAAAGUAACGACAUGGAUGUCAAUAAUUUAAUAGUAAGAAUAUUUUGAGGUAUUUUUUAAAAUACAUAGAUUAUACGGGCACUAAUCUCAAAAUAUAAGAAAUAAAAGAAAUUUUGCCCUACAAUUAUGCUAUAUGAAUGAAAUAAAGUGUGAUUGAAAAAGCAACUUGGUAUUUGAUAUAUUCUGUUGUUAAAGUUAUUGUGAGUUUGAAAAGAAAAAUAAGUAUUUUCAAUAAAUUUUAUCACGAAAAUAAUAUUUUAUUAUAUAAUGGUCAAAAAGACAAAAUUUAUUUUAUUUAUAUAUUGAGGUUUAUAAACAAAUAAAACAUGUAUAAUAAUCAUUUUAUUAAAAUAUUAAAGUUAUAGUAUGAAUUUAAAAAAAAUGUGGCGGUUUAUUUUGUAAGUUAUAAAUAACAUUCCCUACGUGCUUUUAGGAAUCGCUGUCAAAAUAAAAAAAUUUGUAGAAUAUUUUUACCAAAACUUAUCAAAUAAGCAGUUUAUGACAUUUCAACCUUAAUCCUAAACGUAACUUAAUUAUUGCUUAUCAUACAAUUAAAAGGUUAUAGUAUUGAUAUCAUUAGAUAAUCUUUUGCAGUAUAUAUACUCUUCUGCAGACCGCCUCCACGUUCUUUCGCCAUCAAAGAAUAACAACACACGAGAGUUUGACUCUUCUAAGCAUUUGGCUAAACGAUGUCGGCAAACACCGAUUUAGACAAUACGACGUCGCCUUUGUUAGAGGCUGGUGGUGAUGAUGAUCACGGAGAAGAAGAAGCAACCAGCAGCAGGAGGCGGUGGUGGAAACGAGUUUUGGACUUGGAAGAGGCCAAGAAUCAAGUGGUGUUUUCGCUACCCAUGAUUCUUGCUAAUGUUUUUUAUUAUGCAAUUCCUUUGGUUUCUGUCAUGUCUGCUGGCCACCUUGGCCAGCUUGAGCUUGCUGGUGCCACACUUGCCAACUCUUGGGCCACCGUCACAGGAUUCGCUUUCAUGGUAACCACACUUUCUCUUUAUUUCUUUUGAAUCUGCCGCUGAUAGCUCAUCAAGUUUCUACAGAUUUCAUAUAAAGUUUUCUGUUCCUGAAUACUACAAAUUAAAUCAUUAGAAAGAUUAUUUUUAUGCCAGAAAUCUAUCUGAUCAGCCGCGUGCAGACAUAUUAUUGUACGCGUGAUUAGCUACAUGUCAUUUAUUUCAUUGACUGGUGUCUCAAAGUCCUGGACAAAUGAAAUCGUGACACGUGGCCUGUCGAGUGCUUAAUUUUUUUCUUUUAAUAAAGUGCUUAUAUUAUUUGUUGUUAAUUACAAUGGAGAUUAUUUUACCCCCCAAAAAAAAAAAAUUGUGAUGGAAUAUGAUUGUUUCGAGCAUUUGAAGUAAUGUGCAGGAGGGAUAUUUAUAAACUAAAUUAAUCGUGCAUAAAAUGAAAAGAGUAAGUUGAUAAUAAUGCUCAGGUCCAGACGUCUAAAAUCCAGACUUGAAAUAGAAUCAGAGUGUAACUACAGCACCAUUGAUUUAGUUCAAAUCCAGAAAUCCAGACCUGAGAAUGACUCAUUGAUCUAAUUUAAAGUUUUAAACUUAAGCAAUCACAAAAAAUACAAUUUGUAUGGCACAUGAUCAUUGACCAAAACCAACACAAGAGUGAUUUUGGGGAGAAAUUCUUGCUGUUGAAAAUCCCUUAGAUGAAGCUUGAACUUCUACUAAGUUUGCCCCGCUGGUUUUAAUGAAGAUUGAAUUUGUGCUGGUUAACAGGGUCUUAAUUUUUUUUUUUUUUCCCCAAGAUGGGACAAAUGACUUGUUUUUCUGAGAACUGACAUAAGUGUAUGACUAGAUUCUGUUUGGACUCAAUUUUCACCGGGCUCUUUUCUUGAACUUGAACAUUUUCAUCUCUGUUCUUGUCCAAAGAUAGGAUUAAGUGGAGCACUUGAAACACUUUGCGGUCAAGGAUUUGGUGCAAAACAUUACAGGAUGUUGGGAAUAUAUCUGCAAGCAUCUUGGAUUACAUCAUUAUUUUUCUCAAUCAUCAUAUCUUUCUUGUGGAUCUACACAGAACCAAUACUUAUUUUACUUCAUCAAGAUCCCAGCAUAUCAAAACAAGCAGCUCUCUACAUGAAGUAUCUUAUUCCCGGUCUAGUUGCAUACGGGGUUAUACAGAACAUCCUAAGGUUUCUUCAGACACAAUCCAUAGUCAUUCCAUUGAUCUUCUUCUCAGCUCUCCCAAUGGCAAUUCAUUUUGGCAUUGCAUAUGCUUUUGUAUAUUUGACAUCCCUUGGUUUUAAGGGAGCUUCACUAGCAGCUUCAGUUUCGUUAUGGAUAUCGAUGCUUAUGCUGGUAACUUAUGUCCUUUGUGCAAAGAAGUUUGAGCAUACGUGGGAAGAAUUUUCUUUUGAAUCAUUCAGUUUCAUCCUCACCAUCUUAAAACUAGCCCUGCCCUCUGCAGCAAUGGUAUGGUAAGUCCUAAGUGUAACCGAAUUUUCAUUCAUCAUAGCAUUUUAAAUCUUGCGACUCAUUUUUGUUUCAUACUUUUUCAGCCUCGAGUACUGGGCUUUUGAGAUUCUAGUGUUCCUAGCAGGAUUGAUGCCUAACUCAGAACUGACUACUUCAUUGAUCGCAAUGUGGUAAGUUUAUUGUUCUUUUUGAUAAUAUUUAUCCUAAAUUGCUUCAGCCUUGACUUGAGUUUCUUUCUUUUCUGAUUGAAUGAUCUCACAGUGUAAAUACCGAAUCUGUUGCCUACAUGAUUACUUAUGGUCUUAGUGCUGCUGCAAGGUCAGUAGUAUCUGUGUAUAACUUCUAGUUCUUCAGUUUAUGCAUUUUGUGUUCAGGAAACUGAAAAAAUUGUACCUCUUCACAGCACAAGGGUGUCAAAUGAAUUGGGAGCAGGGAAUCCCGACCAAGCCAAGAAUGCCAUGGCUGUGACUGUCAAGCUCUCUGUACUGCUUGCACUCGUGGUUGUUUUGGCUCUAGGUUUUGGUCAUAACAUCUGGGCUGGCUUCUUUAGUAACAGCCCUGAAAUCAUAAAGGAGUUUGCCUCUUUAACACCACUUCUUGCUCUCUCAAUAACGCUUGAUUCUGUCCAAGGCGUCUUAUCAGGUUAGUGACAUCCAAUUUUUUCUACGGAAAUGCUAACUUAUGUGCUUAUAUAUAUAGUUGUACAACUCUGAUUCUAGUUCAAAUCCGAAUUUUAUAAAAUUUCGGAUGUCUGAAGCUGAGCACCAUUAUAUGUAGAUGCUGACGCAAGUGAGCUAAUGGCGCAGGGGUGGCAAGAGGAUGUGGUUGGCAGCACUUGGCUGUGUGGGCUAAUUUGGCAACAUUCUAUUUCAUUGGCAUGCCAAUUGCAGCAAUUCUUGGAUUUAAGUUGAGUCUAUAUGUUAAGGUGAGGCAAACAUAUAUUUGAAAAAAAUAAAAAAAUAAUUAAAAAAAAAGAAACUUCAACUUUUCAAUUUAAUCGUUCAUAUGCUAUGCCCUUUCUUUGGAUCAGGGUUUGUGGAUCGGCUUAAUAUGCGGCCUUUUCUGCCAAGCCAGCUCCCUCUUGUUGAUUACAUUGCGCCGUAAGUGGACUAAAGUGGACAUGACAUGAACAGAGGAAAUGAAUCCCCUGUUUUUAGUUUAACCAAAUACAAUAACAAAGGAUUAUGGUGAUUAGAAAUGUUUAAAAAAAUUUCAAAAUGUACCUUUAUGUGAUUUAUACUUUAAUUUUCACCUUGGAGCUGUGGUCUUUUGAGUAUCUUGUGCUCAAUUAGUUAAUCACUUUAGUUAUUAAAAGUGGAGACUCUGUAGCAUUCAUUAUGUUCUCCUAUUGCCCCAUAAUUUCAACAUAUUUGUGUUAUUUUAACCCUGAAAAUUAAAGUACAUAGCUAUUUUCAUGCUUGAAUAUCACAUGCCACUAGAAUUCUUUAAUUUGAGCUUCCAUGAUUUUAAAUUGCUUUUAAUAUAAGUGAGGCAGCUGCGCUUCCAUUAGACUAUGAAUCUGAUAAAGAAAAAUAGUUAACAGGGAGAAGGAAGAAAGAUUUUUUGUGACAUCCACCAGACCAUUGUUGCAUAUGACAGCGGUGCUAGUUCUAAGCUGGUGCUUAGGAAACUGCAUGAUCUUGCAAUUAUAUACUCCCUUUAGUAGUUAUUUGUGAGAGCCACUUAGGAGACGAAGAAGAAUAAGAGAAGUAGAUUGUUGGGGGGUGCAUGUGUUUCUUAAAAGUCUAGAAAAAAAAAUUGAGAAAAAAAGUGGGGGAUUGCCAAUUUCUCCACUACUGUAAUUAAUAUAUACCAUUUAUCCCCUUACUGUUUUUAUAAUAGUGAAUAAUCUCUUUGAUAGCAUAAGUUUAUAAUAUUAUCUUUAUUUUCAAAUACACUUUUAUUUAUAUUUAUUAUAGAUUAAAUAAAUCAUAUAAAUGGAAAUUAAAAUUAAAAAUUAAGUAUUACAAACAAGAAAUAUAUGUUUUGAUAUGAAGAAAAAAAUUAAUAAUAAAGCUUUUUCUUGUUCUUUUUUAUUUUUGUAAACACUUUCUUAUAAUAAAUAUUUUAUAAUAUUUUAAAAUUAAAUGUAAAAAGUAUAAAAAAAUAUUUUAUUAUUAAUUUUUUUUUACAUCAAAACAUAUAUUCCUUAUUUUUAAUACUUAUUUUUUUAUUUUAAUUUCCAUUCAUGUAAUUUAUUUAAUCUAUAAUAAAAUUAAAAAAAUACAUUUGAAAUUUAGGAUAAUAUUGUAAAUUUAUACUGUCAGGGAGAUUAUUGGUUAUUAUAAAAAUAGUAAGAGAUAAAUGAUAUAUAUUAACUACAGUAAAGAAAAAAUUGGCAAUCUCCAAAGCCUUUUAUGGGUCUGUUUGUGGGGGUAUAAAAAGUUAAGAAACAAACAAAGAAGAAAAGAAAGAACGUGGGAGAGAAAAUUAGAGCUGUAGGGUAGAGGGAAUAAUUGAAAAAAAAAAAGUCAAGGGGGGCACAAGAAAAAACAAAGAAGAAAAGAAAGGAAGUGGGAGAGAAAAUUAAAGUUGUGGGGGUAGUGGGAAUAAUUGUAAAAAUAAACUUGAGUGAAUUAAAAAAUAAAUAAAUAAAUAAACUUUAGUAAACGUAAGCGCACCCAAGAGACGAGACUUAUUUUUAGUAGAUAGUGUGUUUAUGAAUGGUCAUGGGUGCGUGGAGUUAGUAAAGAUGAUCAGUGUGCUCAACUUUCAGCACCAAUGAGUGGAUAAAUAUCAAUUUACUCCAAUUGACGCCCAUUAUUUCCCCUUAUCUUUUCAACAAAAAUGGAAUAGAUUAAAGUUUUCAAAUGUUUGAGUGAUAAUUAAAUAUUAUCAUCAUUAUCAUUAUUUAUGUAGCUCUUCCAAUGAUAAGUUAAAACCAGUGGCAUUAAAUGUAGUCGCAUUCUUUCCAGCAUAAAGUUUAUGAAUUGAACAAAAUGCACAACCUUUCCGGUCUCAAUAUCAAUAUGGUUAAAUUGAAAGUGGAACUUCUUUUUCUCUGCUCACAGCUAUGUCGACAUUAGUGAAUUUUCUUCGCAACACAAUCAGAAAGAGGGAGCUGGCUUGGGCUGCGAGGCCGCAGAUUAAGCCAAUCCACAAACCCUGUAACAGAAAAAAGAAACUAGCGUGCUGAGAGUAUCGAGUGAUGAACAAGCUACUGCAACCACAAUCCAUUUUGUCUCACCUUCGCAUGAAGAUUCAACUUAAAUCCAAAAAGUAAUGCAAGCGGCAUGCCAAUGAAAUAGAAUGUUGCCAAAUUAACCCACACAGCCAAAUGUUGCCAACCACAUCCUCUUGCCACUCCUGCAAAAUUACGCUACUUGCGUCACAAAUCAAAGUUAAUUUAUACAUGUGUGCUGUGUGUAGAUAAGUGACUUCAGAAAAAUUUUAUGUGAAAAACCUAACAAGAUGCACUGCAGAGUAUCAAAUGUUAUUGAGAUUACAAGAAAGGGUGUCAUUGAGGCAAAUUCCUGUACUAUUUCUUGGCUGUCAGCGAAGAAGCCAGCCCAAAUAUUAUGACCAAAAGUAAGAGCCAAAUCAAUUAUAAGAGCGAGGAGGACAACAAGCUUGAGAGUCACAGCCAUGGCAUUCUUAGCUCGAUCGAUCAUUCCUGCUCCCAAUUCAUUCGACACCUUGUGCUGUCAGAAAGCAUGAGUUUUUCUGGUUUUGAACACAAAAAUUGUAGAAACCACACAACGUGGACUAGGAGUUACAUAUGCUACACUAACCUUGCAGCAGCACUGAGACCAUAACUGAAGUUAAAGGUAAUUACGUGUGUAUUCACACUGAAGAUCAUGAGACCAAAAAAAAAAAAGAUUGAACUAUCAAAGUCGUCAAAAUGAUCAGUCUAAGGAUAAAUAACAUCAAAAGAAAUUAAUGUACAAGAAAAAAAAACUGAUAAUAACAAAAGGCUGAAGCUUAAUUACCACAUUGCGAUCAAUGAAGUAGACCGUUCUGAGUUUGGCAUCACCCCGGCUAAGAACACAAGGAUAUCAAAAGACCAGCACUCCAAGCUGAAAAAAUACAAAUAAUAUAUGCUAACAAGGUCAUGAUAUUGUAUUGAAUUCAAUUGGGUCACUCCCGCGUUGCUCCAAAUUAUCAAUUUGCAAGAUUUUAACCCUGUAGAUUAAAGUAAUAAUUAUUUGCAAGCAGGAGUAUCAGAUACCACUAACUAUUUUCUCAGGCAACUGUUAUCUUUUUAAGCCUAUAGUCUUCAAUUGAGGACUAACUAAUUUUUUUAAAAGUCCAGAGUUUUAACUUCCCUGUCAUCAAUAAGCAGUUUGCAUAUCACACUCUUUUUUUCCAAACAUUGUAGACCAUCCGUGAUUGUAUUUGUUUCUAACCAAAUGAAGCUGUACCUACGAUCAAGAAAAGUAAUGACACUUACCAAACCAUUGCUGCAGAUGACAGGGCUACUUUCAAGUUGGUGAGAAAGACACUGAAUGAUUCAAAAGAAAGUCCCUCCCACGUACGGUUAGUUUUCUUUGAACAAUGGAUAUAAAUUGCUAGCAAAAGUGUCGAGAUCCACAACGAAAUUGAACAUGCUAGUGGAGCUCCACUGAAACCAAGGGAUGUCCAAUGAACUAAAGAAUAUGCAAUGCCAAAAUGGAUUGCCAAUGGGAGAGCUGAGCAGAAGACCAAUGGCAUGACAAUGGAUUGUGUCUGCAGAAACCUUAGAAAGUUCUGUAUAAACCCGAAUGCAAAUAGACCCGGAAUGAGAUACUUCAUGUAGAGACCUGCUUGUUCUGAAAUAUUCGGAGCUUGAUGAAGUAAAAUAAGUAUAGGUUCUGUGUAGAACCACAGGAAAGAUAGGAUAAUUGAGAAGAAGCAAGAUAUGAUACAAGAUGUUUGCAAGUAUAUUCCCAACACCCUGUAUUGUUUUGCGCCAACUCCUUGACCACAGAGUGUUUCAAGUGCUCCACUUAGUCCUUGCUGUUAGGAGAACGGAGAAUGAAGAAAAUGAAUCAACCACAUAUUGAAAAUUAAAAAUUGAACCACGCACGCGCUGACUUAGCCGUUUCAAAAGAUUGAUUGGAUUUGGAUAGUGCUAACUACUAAGUGGUGCUGAACUUUUUGUAAUCUUCUAUCACACGUGUACAUUAAGGUAUACUCGGGCAAUCGCAGUUAUAAAAUCUCAGCAUAAAGAUCAGCUCUCAGCUCAGCGCAGCACCGAAUACAAAUUCAAAUUAAUUGUAUAUUAUAAUCUAAACUACUUAAAAAAUUGAAGCUUUCUGUAUAAUACGAUGAUGUUAAUAAGAUAUUGAAUGCUUACAGUGAAAUCAAAUCCAGUGACACAGGCCCAAGAGUUGGCAAGAGUUGCACCAGCAAGCUCAAGGUCACCAAGGUGACCAGCAAACAUGACAGAAACCAAAGGGAUCGCAUAAUAGGAAACAUUAGCAACAAUCAUUGGCAGCGAAAAGAGUACUUGAUUCUUGGCCUCUUCCACGUCCAAAACUUCUUUCCAUUUCCGCCACCACCUCCUUUCUUCUUCUCCAAGAUUAUAAUUAUUAAUAUUAUCACCGGUUCCUAACAGUGGCUUAGUGUGAUUAUCUGAACUUCGAUUCCCCAACAUUUUUCUUCUGUUUUUUAAUUUGUUUUCUUCUCUUCUCAGAGAUUUUCUUCUUUCUUCUUUACGUUUAUGGUCUUGUUUAACACGUGGGUCAAUACAUAUAAGAGUGGGGCUGAGUAGUGAGUACGAACACUUUUCGCAGUGGAACGUUUGCGGCACCUAAAGACUAAGGUAUCAGUGCAGCACCCAGGAUAUCGAUGCCAAUAGUUUACAUGUGGGAAAAGGUCAUCUCCCUUAAAAUUUGAGAAAAUAAUCAUCAACAUCCUCAAAUUUUUUGAAACAGACACCAAAAUUUUUUUUGACCAUAUAUCCCAAAAAAUAGAUUCUAAUAUUUUUUAAUAAAUAAAAAUAUAAUAUUAAAAUAAAUAUAAUGAUAUAUACAUUUUAACUGCUGUAUAUUUAUUUCAAAUCUCUACAAUAAAUAAAAGAUUAAAAUAAAUAUAAUAAUUUACAUAUCUAAAUUUAUUAAAAUAUUUUAAUAUUAUUAAUCUACUACAUAGAUUACAUUAUUUAUAUAAUAUUUGUAUUUAUUAAAAAUUUUGAAGCCAUUUUGUUGGGGAUAAUAGAUGAAAAGGGUAUAAUGGUUAAGAUGGGAUAUUAGUUUCCAUUUUUUCAAACUUAAGGAUGUUGUGAUCAUUUUCUAAAACUUUGAGGAUGUACGUGUCGUUUUUCCCUUUACUAUGUUGCCACUGUACGUUACAACAGCUUUUGUUUUUUUUCACUUCAUUGAGACCCUUACACUCUAUUUUUUUAUAAUUUAUUCAUAAAAAUUAUGAAACAUUGGGCUUACUUAUACCAUCAAAACUCAAUUUAUCUCCUUAUACUCUUUUUCAUUUACUAUUUUUUUGUAAGUAUUAAAAGAGUUUCUGCUUACAACCAUGACACAUUAAUAAUCAUAACACACUAAGGGCUUGUUUGGUAUUCCGCACAACAUAGUAUUAAAACACUGUUUUGUAUUAACUUAAUACUAACUCAUGUUUGGCGUUAAAUUCAACUGGCGUGGUAUUGCAUUAACUUGGGAAACUAAUGCGGUCAGAUCCGCAUAAACCAAACCCGAGGGGGGGUUCGGGUUUACGCCGCAUCGUAUUAGAGCAAAUUAAGAAAAUAAAAUUGAGAAAUUUUUACAGCAUGUUCGCGAUGAAAUUCAUAUCACCCAAUCUAGCACCACCAAAUCAACUUGGCAAUCAUCGCUCGACGCCAUCACCGAUACUUCUAUAGUGCCGCGUGACACCAUAGCCAUUGCUCCAUGAAGACGCCUUCACUGUGGAGAAGAUAAAGCCCAGAGAAGAAGAAGAAAGAAGGAGAAAAAGAGGAAAAGAAAAAGGGAAAACAAAUUGAAGAACAAAAAGAAAAUAGAAGAAAAGGAGGAAAAAAAAGAAAAUGAAAUGAAGACGAAGAUAAAGCUGAGAGAAGAAGAAGAAAGGAGAAAAAGAGGAAAAGAAAAAAGGAAAACAAAUUGAAGAAGACAAAGAAAAUAGAAGAAAAGGAGGAAAAAAAGAAAAUGAAAUGAAGACGAAGAAAGAGAAAAAGAGAACAAAAAUGAACAAAGAAGAAAAAGAUAUGGAGAAGACAAAGGGAGGAGAAAGAGGAAGCAGGUAAUGAUACAUUGAAAAGCAUUAUCUAAAGAAUAAAAAAUAAAAAAAGGAGAGAGGAAAUUAAAAUAAAUAAAUAAAUAAAAUAUGUUUUUUACUAAAUAGGUUAUAUAUUUAUGAAUUCUGGAAAAAAUAAAAUUUUCAUCAUUGUAAAUCUUAGAAUUUGUUAGUUUUAGAUAAAGAAUUAUGAUUCUUUUAUUUAAACAAAAAAAUUGUUGUAAAAAUUCUUAAAUUUAACGCUUCUAUAUUUAGUAUUUUUCUAAGUACUAGUAGAUAUUAUUUUCUAAAUAUAUAAUUAAAAUUAAUCACCAAAAGAAAUUAAUACAGUACAGUGCAACACCAAAUAUAGUAUAACUAAAAAUUAAUACAGUACAAUGUAGCACCAAACAUUGUACAAUAUUAUUAUAAUACAGUGCUAAUGCAAUACAACAUAAUACAGUGCUAAUGCAAUACAGCAUAAUACAAUACACCAGCAUUAAAAUAAUACAAUACAACAUAAUAUAAUACGUGUACCAAACGCACCCUAAUAUUAAUAAAAAGAUUAAAAAAUUCUUAAAUUAGUACUAAAAAAAACGUUUUCCUCUCUUAAGGAAUUAUGAUAUCACAUCUUCUAUAACUUCUCAUCAGCAAAAUUUUCAAAGAUAUGACCAUUCAUCUUCUUUAUAAUAUCAUCUCAUAAUAAUUAGUAUUUUCACGAUAAAAGAAAUAACAAAAAAAAAAACAAAUUCCCUUUGAAUCCAUCCUUCUACACUAGCAUUGUCUCUUUAUCAACAACCUUUAUCAACAAUUGAAGUCACCAUUAGACUCAUCACAGAGAGAGAGUGAGAGAGAGAGGAAGAAGAAACAGAAAAAAAUAUAUGAAACAUUUACAAUUUUAAAGUACAUUUACUAAACAGAAAUCGAAAUGAACUAGAAUCAAAAUGAGUUAGAAUCAGAAUGGGUUGGAAUUGAAAUGAAGAAUUGGAAUCAGAAUAAGUUAUUUACUUAAACUGCAUGAAUCGUAAUUAGAAUGAGUUGUAUUGUCAUUGAUGUGUUUACUUUGUUUUAGAAUCAAUAUCGGAAUAAAUUAAAUUGUAACAAAUUUGUUAUAAAAUCCUUAAUAAAUUAUUAUCAUAAUUGUUAUUUUGUAUUUUAAUUAGGGGUGGGCAAAUUACCAAACCCGAAAAAUUUCAGGUUCGGAUCGGAUCGGGUUAUAAAGAAAACCCGAUCGGGUUGCUAGAAAAAAAAAAAAAAAAACUAAAGCUAAAGCACACAGCCACACACACAAAUCAUAAAUUCUCAUUUUCACAACACACAAACACUCACAACCCUCCUCAAUCCCCAAUCUCAUUACACAAUCCCCAAUCUCACUACACAAAACACAUGCGUAGUAACCCCAAAUGGUGUUGGCCCAACGCCAGGUUGCCAAUGGAGGCCGCCACACAAGUCACAACCUCACCCGCGUCUCCAUGCCCGAUUCGUUGCGUGUCUGUCGGUCUGCUGCUACGCGUCUGUCAGUUUGCUGCUGUGCGUCUGUGGGCACCUAUUUGCUGCAAGUGCCACUGAUCUGCAGCAAGUGCCACCGAUCUGCUGCAAGUGCCAUCGAUCUACUACAAGGUGCUACCGAUCUGCAUUUUGCCGCUCCAACCUUCAACCCGAUACCCAACCCGAGUUUAUCCCCUUUGAAACUUUGAGUUUUCACUUUUGAAGCUUUUUUUUAAGCUUUAAAUUGAUGAUAUAUAUGGUUAAUUUAAACAAUUAAUAUUUAGUAUUUAAUUGUUGCAAUUAUGUGUUUUUACAUGUUAGUAACAAAAUCAAGAAAAUUGGCCAACCCGAAACCGAUCCUACCCGAAUUUACAACCCCACCCAAUCCGAUCUGAAUAUAAAUCGAAUCAAAUCGGAUCAGGUUGUAAGUUCGGAUUGUAUUCGGAUUAGUUUUUGUCAAACCCGAAUGACUCAAAAUCCGAUCGGGUUGAUCUGAACCCAACCCGAACCCGAUUUUGCCCACCCCUAAUUUUAAUUACCAUGAUUAUUAUUAUUGUUCAAAAAUUAUUUAUUAUUAAUAAUUAUUGUUAAUUACUAUUAUUAACAAUUUAACUCAAAAUUAUUAUUAAUUAUUGUUAAUAUAUUAAUUAAUUAUAAUAUUUUUUAUUGUUAAUAAUAAUAAUAAUCCAGUAAAAAAUAACAGUAAUAAUCAAAAUCAUCAUAAUCAACGGCAACAACAAAUCGGAACCGAUGGCGGCAUCAUCAUCAAUAGUGUCAACAUCAUUAUCAUCAUCAUGAAGAUGGCUGGUUAGGAGAUAGUGGUGAGAUUGUUCCUGCAAUGGGCCAAAUAAUGGACGGUGAAGAUCACGACGAUAAGCGAACUAGAUCCCGAUCCCGAUCCCGAUCUCAGUGUUGUGCUUCCUCUUAGCUACAACUGGAAAAUCUUCCUCUUGGUUCUGAUGGAGGCUUCAAGGGUUUACAAUGUUGGUUGUGCCUGCUGUUUGUUUUUUUUUCAAAUUUGCUAUAUAUAUAUUUUUAAUUAAAUGGAGGGUAUUUGGGAAUUUAAAAAAUUGUGAGGGAGCGAAUUUGAUACUCUAAGAGUUUCGAUCAAAUAAAACAGAGAGUAAGGAGCUCAACGAAAUUUACAAUUACUAAGUCAGAAAAGACAAAAGCUGUCUAACCUACAAGUGGCAACAUAGGAGACCCCGAAUAAUAUUAAUUAAUGGCAGACUUUUAUUACUUGGCAUCAAACAAGGGGGUCACUUAAUGUUUAAUGGCAUAAAAAAUAAAUAAAUGUCGUUAAAUUAAUUUUUGUAUGGCGCAAAUCAUUUUGCCGUUAAUUGUAAUAUUAUACUGGCAUGGAUGUAUUCGCCGUUGAUUUGUAAAUAUACUAGGACAUUUGAAAUAUGCCGUAAAAAAAAAAAAUUAUAAACCAAUAAAAGAAAAUCAUCACCCUUUCAAUCCUUAGCCACCCCUUUCUUUCUCUUUUAUUUUUCUUAAUUGAUUUCUUCACGAUUAGGAAUUAGGGGCUGCCACUAUCCAGUUUAUAUCCUAAUCAAUCUCCUCGCUCAUCUUCUCUCUUGCUCUGCUCCAUUAAUAUUUACUUGCAGUGAUUUUUUCUUCUUUCAAUUUUAUAAUCGCAUACCUUGUACUGAUUUAAUCAACGUGGUUCACGUAUGUGUUUUGAUUUAUUAUACUUUCUAUUGUUUAAUUUUUUUAAUGGUUUAUUUUAUUUUUAGGUUAUUUGUGUCAUUGAAAUCUACUUAGGGUUUGUUUUGUUGAAAGUAAUAGAUUUAGAAUUUUUUUUUUGGUUUAGAUAUUCAAGAAAGGUAUAAAAUUUGGUUCUAUCAAUUACAUUAGAUGAAAUCAAUGUGGGUAUUACUUCAGUUUGAAUCUUUUGAUCCUUAAUCAAUUUAUUUUGUUUAACCUGUUAGUUAAAAAUUAUUUAAUAUUGUUAAUAUUACAUAAGUUUUCAUAUUAAAAAAAUCUUAAAUUGGUUUCACUUUGUUUUUAUUUUGUAAGAGCUAGCUCUUGAAUUUGAUAGUGGCUACUUGGUAUUUUUAAUCUUUAAUUGCUCUUUUUGGCUACUUGGUGUAUGUUGUCAGUUUAUAUCAAAAUAAUUAACCUUUCUCUUUUUGUAUGUUGUUAAACAACAAGGUGAAUGGUGGUAGAUAUUAAUUGACUUUUGAGUUUUAAAAUUUUUCAAAUUGCAAUAAAGUGAAUGAUAUUUUUGCAGGCAAUAGACAACUCUCCCCAAUGGUGAGUAUCUAAUUUUAACAGUGUGAUUACAAGUUGCUUAAAAUAUCUCCACGCAGUAGAAACUUUUUUUAUUUUAUAUGUUUUUAAUAAUAUACAAACUUGUCUUCUACAAUUGGAUUCAUUAGAUGCUAAGUGAAUAAAGUAAGAAAGUUGGUCUCAUUGUAAGUGUUGCUCCAAAAUGACACUUUGAUUGCCCUGUUCCAUUAAAGUGAGUGGUUGUCAAAUAAAGUGGCCAUCUAGAUGGUAUAAAACGGCCAUCUAGAUGGUCAACAACAACUUUGUUUAAGGAGAAGAAAAUUUGACAUUUGGCAGUGGUAUUUUUUGAAGAAGGAAAGAGAAGAAAAUUUUGACAUUCAAUGGCGGUGAAAAAAAAUAUUAUUUUAAUAGUCAAGUUUGGCUAUAAAAAGGGAGAGCUCCCAUUUCGAUUUUAGCAUUUAAUUUGUGAGAGAAUAACAAGGAGAGAGCUUGAGAGAUUUUAAGAGUUUAAAAUUAUAAAGCUCUUGAGAGUCUAGUGAGUGAGAGAUUGGGUGUAUUGAGAUUUUGGAUAGUGAGCUAAAAUAUUAUAAUACUUGUAAUCCUUAUUUCACUAGUGAAAUAUUUUCCUUCUGUCUUCGCCCGUGAACGUAGGCUAAAAGCCGAACCACGUAAUUUCUGGUGUCCUCUAUUGUGCUUGUUCUUUAUUAUUCUUCUAAUUUUAUUUUAGCUGCGGUCCUGCUUCACCCACCAAUUUACUAACAAUGGUAUCAGAGUUAUUAGUUGUAUUUUUGGAGUCGGGUACUAUUCAAGUAUAUGAUAUUGUUCACGUAUACGGUACUAUUCACAUAUACGGCAAUGUUCACUUAUACGAUACUAUUAAUGUAUAUGGCACUGUUCACAUAUACGAUACUGUUCACGAAAAACGGUAGGAGCGAUCCAAGAAUUUUGCGGUGGAAAGCAGGGAAUAAUGGUGUGAGUAAAGCAACUGUGUGGUUUUGUACAUGUCUAGGAAAGUUCUGUCACAAAGGCGAUAAGAGCUUAAGGAGUCUGGGUUUUAAGUGGGACCAUUGUGACCCCUCCAGUCUUUCCUGGGAACUUUCUUGGUGUGCAUUCUCACACAUACUCACAACUAUUCGAGGUGAUACACUAGUUUGUGUGUGAUAUUUAUCAACAAAUUGCGGCAAAGUAUGAAAUUGUGAAGUUUAACGGAAAUAAUUUUUCAUUGUGGAAAAUGAAAAUGAAAGCUGUAUUGAGGAAAAAUAAUUGCUUAACAGCAAUUGGAGAAAGGCCCAUGGAGAUAACUGAUGACAAGUGGAACGAGAUAGAUGGCAACGCCAUUUCUGAUCUACACUUGGCACUUGCAGGCGGAGUAUUAUCCAGUGUGGCAGAGAAAAAUACAGCGAAGAAAAUUUGGGAUACUCUCACAAAAUUGUAUGAGGCCAAGUCACUGCACAACAAAAUCUUCUUGAAGAGGAAACUCUAUACUCUUCGAAUGACGGAAUCUACAAUGGUGACUGAUCACAUCAACAUAUUGAAGACUCUAUUUUCACAACUCACAACGUUGGGUCAUAAUAUAGAGGAAAAUGAACGUGCAGAGCUUCUACUUCAAAGUCUACCAGAUUCGUAUGAUCAACUCAUCAUCAACCUGACGAACAACAAUCCAAUGGACAGUCUAGUUUUCGAUGAUGUUGCAGCCUCCGUAUUAAAUGAGGAGAGCAGACGUAAAAAUAAAGUCAAAAUCAUGGUAGAUCAAAAUUCAGAAGUAAGAAUAAUGUUAAAUGCUACAACUGUGGUAAGAAAGGGCACAUCAAGAAAGAGUGUUGGAGUAACCAGAAGAGAAAAGAGGGCAAAGAACCUGAGUCAUCAAAUGCUCAGGGUUGUGUAGCAAAUACCUCGGAUGAUGGUGAAAUUCUCUAUAGCGAGGCAACAACUGUUUCAGAAGGCAGAAAACGACUAUCUAAUGUCUUGCUUAUAGACUCAGGAGCUACCUGACAUAUGACCUCUCGGAGAGAAUGGUUCCACACAUAUGAACCUAUCUCAGGAGGAUCUGUAUAUAUGGGAGAUGAUCAUGCUUUGGAGAUCGCUGGUAUUGGUGCUAUCAAAAUAAAAUUGUUUGAUGGUAUAAUUUGCAUAAUUGGGGAGGCACGACAUGUCAAUGGCCUGAAGAAAAAUCUAUUGUCUUUGGGACAAAUAGACAGUCAUGGGUGCAAAACUCAUGUGGAGAAUGAAAUUAUGAAGAUCGUUAAAGGCGCGCUUGUAUUGAUGAAGGCAGAAAAGAUCGGUGCUAAUUUAUUCAUUCUUAAAGGAGAAACACUACAGGAGGCUGAUGCGUGUGUCGCGUCAAAUUGAGAAGAGUCAACGAUGAUGUGGCAUCUCAAACUUGGUCACAUGUCUGAACAAGGUUUGAAGAUUCUCUCUAAGCGAAAAUUGCUUCCGAGGCUCAAAUCGGUAAGUUUACCAUUUUGCGAGCAUUGUGUUACAAGUAAGCAGCAUAAAUUAAAAUUCAGUAGAUCUAUUGCUAGAAGUAAAUGUAUUCUAAACUUGAUUCAUUCUGAUGUUUGGGAAUCACCAUAUAUAUCUAUGAGAGGUGCAAAGUACAUGGUGACUUUCAUUGAUGAUUAUUCCAGAAGAUGUUGGGUAUAUCCAAUUAAGAAAAAGUCAGAUGUAUUUCCAGUGUUUAAAGAAUAAAAAGAUCAAGUGCUUGAGGACGGAUAAUGGUGGAGAGUAUACAGACGGUGAGUUUCUUCCUUUCUGUAAGCAAGAAGGUAUUCAGAGGUAGUUCACAGUGGCAUACACUCCUCAACAAAAUGGAAUAACAGAGCGAAUGAACAGAACUCUUACAGAAAGAAUAAGAGCUAUGUUGAAGACUGUUGGUCUACCCAAUUCAUUCUGGGUAGAAGCAGCCAAAACUGCAUGUUAUAUAGUAAAUCGAUCGCCAUCUACAGCUAUUGGGCUAAAGACAGCGAUGGAGAUGUGGACUGGAAAGCCAGCUGAUUAUUCCUACCUACAUGUAUUUGGAUGUCUUGUGUACGUGAUGUACAAUGCCCAAGAAAGAACAAAGUUGGAUGCAAAAUUUAGAAGAUGUAUCUUCUUGGGGUAUGCUGAUGGAGUAAAGGGGUAUCGUCUGUGGGACCCCAUUGCCCACAAGAUCGUCAUCAGCAGAGAUGUUAUCUUUGUAGAAGAUCAACUGCAAAGGAGAGAUGAGGAUGAUGGCACUGCAAAAGAAAAGUCAGAGACUGUGCCAGUAUAUGUGGAAAAUAAUCUAGAAGAUUCAGAUUCUUUGAAAACAGCACCAGAGCACGAAGAAUAAGAACCAGUCGAGUCUGAGGCUCCAGAAGUUCGUCGGUCAACUCGUGAGAGACGACCGCCGGCGUGGCACUCGGAGUGUGUCAUAAAGAUCAAUGUUACGUACUGUCUUCUAACAGAGGAUGGAGAGCCAUCAACUUUCCAUGAAGCUUUAGAAAGCUCAGAUGUUGCUUUGUGGAUGACAGCAAUGCAGGAAGAAAUUGAAUCUUUACACAAGAAGAAGACAUGAGAACUUGUACCACUACCACGUGGAAGAAAAACCAUUGGAAACAAAUGGGUCUACAAGAUCAAACGUGAUGGCAAUGACCAAGUGGAGCGGUAUCGUACGAGAUUGGUGGUGAAAGGAUAGGCUAAGAAAGAAAGUAUUGACUUCAACGAGAUAUUUUCGCCGGUGGUUUGACUCAUAAUAGUCAGAAUAGUCUUGGUAAUGUGUGCUACAUUUGACCUAUAUCUAGAGCAGUUAGAUGUGAAAACUGCAUUUAUUCAUGGAGAACUUGAAGAAGAAAUAUAUAUGCUCCAACCAGAAGGUUUUCCAGAAACAGGAAAGGAAAACUUGGUUUGCAGGUUGAACAAAUCUCUAUACGGUCUCAAACAGGCGUCGAGGUGUUGGUAUAAGAGAUUUGAUUCCUUCAUCAUGAGCCUUGGAUACAAAAGACUCAGUUCAGACCAUUGUGCAUAUUAUAAGAGGUUUAAAGAAAAUGAUUUCAUUAUUUUGUUGUUGUAUGUGGAUGACAUGUUGGUAGCAGGCCCUAACAAAGAUCGAAUCCAAGAAUUGAAGGCACAAUUGGCUAGGGAAUUUGAAAUGAAGGACUUGGGACUAACAAACAAGAUUCUAGGGAUGCAAAUUCACCGAGACAGAAAUAACAUGAAGAUUUGGCUUUCACAGAAGAACUACUUGAAGAAAAUCUUACGGCGCUUCAACAUGCAAGAUUGUAAGUCAAUUUCUACCCCACUUCCUGUUAAUUUCAAAUUAUCCUCAAGUAUGUGUCCUAGCAAUGAAACAGAGAGGAAUGAAAUGUCUCGAGUACCGUAUGCAUCAGUAGUGGGAAGUUUAAUGUUCGCUAUGAUAUGUACUAGACCAGACAUUGCACAAGCAGUGGAAGCAGUUAGUCGAUACAUGACGAAUCCUGGUGGAGAGCAUUGGAUAGCUUUGAAGAGGAUUCUGAGAUACAUUAGAGGAACCUCAGAUGUUGCAUUAUGUUAUGGAGGAUAAGAGUUUACUGUCAGUGGCUAUGUGGAUUCAGAUUUGCAGGAGAUCUUGAUAAAAGAAAAUCCACUAUUGGCUAUGUGUUUACACUUGCAGGAGCAACUGUAAGCUCUUUACACAAGAAGAAGACAUGAGAACUUGUACCACUACCACGUGGAAGAAAAACCAUUGGAAACAAAUGGGUCUACAAGAUCAAACGUGAUGGCAAUGACCAAGUGGAGCGGUAUCGUACGAGAUUGGUGGUGAAAGGAUAGGCUAAGAAAGAAAGUAUUGACUUCAACGAGAUAUUUUCGCCGGUGGUUUGACUCAUAAUAGUCAGAAUAGUCUUGGUAAUGUGUGCUACAUUUGACCUAUAUCUAGAGCAGUUAGAUGUGAAAACUGCAUUUAUUCAUGGAGAACUUGAAGAAGAAAUAUAUAUGCUCCAACCAGAAGGUUUUCCAGAAACAGGAAAGGAAAACUUGGUUUGCAGGUUGAACAAAUCUCUAUACGGUCUCAAACAGGCGUCGAGGUGUUGGUAUAAGAGAUUUGAUUCCUUCAUCAUGAGCCUUGGAUACAAAAGACUCAGUUCAGACCAUUGUGCAUAUUAUAAGAGGUUUAAAGAAAAUGAUUUCAUUAUUUUGUUGUUGUAUGUGGAUGACAUGUUGGUAGCAGGCCCUAACAAAGAUCGAAUCCAAGAAUUGAAGGCACAAUUGGCUAGGGAAUUUGAAAUGAAGGACUUGGGACUAACAAACAAGAUUCUAGGGAUGCAAAUUCACCGAGACAGAAAUAACAUGAAGAUUUGGCUUUCACAGAAGAACUACUUGAAGAAAAUCUUACGGCGCUUCAACAUGCAAGAUUGUAAGUCAAUUUCUACCCCACUUCCUGUUAAUUUCAAAUUAUCCUCAAGUAUGUGUCCUAGCAAUGAAACAGAGAGGAAUGAAAUGUCUCGAGUACCGUAUGCAUCAGUAGUGGGAAGUUUAAUGUUCGCUAUGAUAUGUACUAGACCAGACAUUGCACAAGCAGUGGAAGCAGUUAGUCGAUACAUGACGAAUCCUGGUGGAGAGCAUUGGAUAGCUUUGAAGAGGAUUCUGAGAUACAUUAGAGGAACCUCAGAUGUUGCAUUAUGUUAUGGAGGAUAAGAGUUUACUGUCAGUGGCUAUGUGGAUUCAGAUUUGCAGGAGAUCUUGAUAAAAGAAAAUCCACUAUUGGCUAUGUGUUUACACUUGCAGGAGCAACUGUAAGCUGGGUUUCGAAACUGCAAACCGUUAUGGCUUUAUCUACAACAGAAGCAGAGUACAUGGCAGCUACACAAGCUUGCAAGGAAGCUAUUUGGAUACAAAGGUUAUUAGAGGAGCUUGGGCACAAACAAGAGAAAAUUUCCGUGUUUUGUGACAGUCAGAGUGCCUUGCAUAUUGCAAGGAAUCCAGUCUUUCAUUUUAGGACAAAGCACAUAGGAGUUCAGUAUCACUUCGUUUGAGAAGUAGUGGAAGACGGAAGUGUGGAUUUAUAGAAAAUCCAUACGAAGGAGAAUCUUGCAGAUGUUUUGACCAAGCCGAUAAAUGCUAACAAGUUUAUCUGGAGUAGAUCCUCUUGUGGCCUAGCAGAAACGUAGGCAACAUGAUUAUAAAACGGCCAUCUAGAUGGUCAACAACAACUUUGUUCAAGGAGAAGAAAAUUUGACAUUUGGCAACAACAGUUCUUGAAGAAGGAAGGAGAAGAAACUUUGACAUUCAAUGGCGGUGAAAAAAAAAUUAUUUUAAUAGCUAAUUUUGGCUAUAAAAAGGGAGAGCUCCCAUUUCGAUUUUAGCAUUCAAUUUGUGAGAAAAUAACAAGGAGAGAGCUUGAGAGAUUUUCAGAGUUUAAAAUUAUAAAGCUCUUGAGAGUCUAGUGAGUAAGAGAUUGAGUGUAUUGGAAUUUUGGAUAGUGAGCCAAAAUAUUACAAUACUUGUAAUCCUUAUUUCACUAGUGAAAUAUUUUCCUUCUGUCUUCGCCCGUGGACGUAGGCUAAAAGCCGAACUACGUAAUUUCUGGUGUCCUUUAUUGUGCUUAUUCUUUAUUUUUCUUCCAAUUUUAUUUUAACUGCGGUCCUACUUCACCCACCAAUUUUCUAACAAUGGUAAUACUUUUACUUAACUAUUUAACGUAGCUAUUGGAUGUUUAUAUAUGAUCAAGCAUUUAUAAUUUUUUUUCUUAUCAAUAAGUUUACGAUAAUUUUAUUUUUUCUUCAGGGUCUUAAUUAGGCUAGAUAAUUUGGCUAUAGUAACUCUCAAGAAGCAUAGACUCAUAGUGCCAAUGAAAUACUUUCUUCACUGAGUAACAUGUUUAAAAUUGGUUUUUUUUUUCUUUUUUUGUUUCCAUAGACCUUCUCUCUUAAUUCGAUGUUUAUAUUAGAUAAGUCCUCCUGAAUUUUGCUUCAAUGAUGAUUUUGCUUACGUUUUCAGGGAUUUUAGAACUGUAUAAAAGGAUCAUUAUUGGUGGCAAAGAAAUUUUUAUUCAAGGAGGGAAAAGAACUGUUUUCUUUUCUUAAUUUGUUGUAAUAUUUCUGUCCCACUUUCAUACUUUACGUUAUGUCAACUCCAUUAAAUUCAUAUGUUAGUUGUCUAUUGACAAUUUGCUAAUGUAUAAUUUUCAGUUUGAUGUAAUCAUUAUUAAUUUUAUUUUAACAUUAUUAAAUUUGUGAUGUAUAAAAAGAAUUAAGAUUUCUUAUUAAAAAUUAAAUAAAAUAAUUAGUGGCAAUUUUGCUCUACCAUGAACUAAUAUUAUUACGUAAUUAUCUCCAACUUCCAAUGGCAAUAAACAAAUAUGGUCUUUAAUACCUACAGCAUAUUGGUAAACGCAGUUCAAAUUUUUAACUAAAAGUAUAAUUUUGGUUACAUUAGUGAAAUAGUUAUUGCCGUCUAAAUGAUAAUUAACGACCUAUAAUUUCUGCCGUCAUUUACUUUUAACAGUAAAUUUGACAGCAUGUAAUGUAUGCCGUGAAAUGUUGCUUACUUUCCACGGUUUAUGAAUCAAUAACAUAUAAAUCUACGCCGUCUUAACUUUUAACGGCACAUUUGCAACGCAGUUGAAAGUCCUUUUUGUUUUAGUGGCUAUUUGUAUCUAAAAUUAUUUUUUGAAUAUUAUAUUACUUUGAACACUCUAUUACUUUAAACACUACUACUUUUAACACUCGUCUACUAAAUUUUUAUUCCGUGCACUCGUUAAAAUACUAAAAAUUCCCUAUGUUCAACUGUUUAAAUUAAUAAUCUCUAUUUAUGCUACAUACUUAGAAAACUAUUCAAUAUACCCAAACAAAAUUCUUAAAAAUUUAAAUAGAUACUUGCAACACUAAAAUCAAGCCAAAUUUUGUAUAUGUACCUUUUUUACUCAGUUUUCAAGUUAUUUUUUCAAAAAGUCUUUUAACUUCUGCCAAAUUCGGAGUUCUUCAUUUUAAUUCUUUUCAUUAUUUUGUGUAAUAGAUUUAUCUAUUUUAAUAUUUAAUCUAGGGAAAUUAAAAAAAAAAAGAAAGAAAGGAAAAAAACGGGGGAAUGAAAAAGCAUUUUGCUGUAGGGUGAUAAUAUUGUAGUAAUCCAUAGAGGCAUAUAUAUAUAUAUAUCUGCUGUACCGUACAUACUGCGAGGUUUUAAAAUUUUCUCACACUUUUCUACACUUUAAAAUUUCAGACUGUAACAUUUUUAUAUCUAUAUAUAAAAAAAAAUGGAAUAUUGCACAGAAAUUUAGAUGUUUAGGCAUUAUAUGAAAAAAAUUGGCAUCGCUGCUGCUGUUCUUGACGAAGACAACACUGCUGCAGCUCUCGACGUGUGAUGAUGCUGCUUUUCUCGGUGCGCCCAAGUCUUCCUAUGCACCACAAGACGACGAUGACGCUAAUGUCGUUGCCUGGUCCCAUUCAGUCACGUGAAUUUAUUACAGUACUAAACAUUUUUAGCUUAAAAUUAUUAUUGGUCACGACAAUACUAAACAAAAUUUCUGUCGCGUGAAUCCAUAAUUGUGGGGGAGCACGUUCUUGCCGCAGCUGGACCACCCGAUAAAUGCAAAAAGCAGGGUUACAAAAGCUUUGGUGCUGGCUGACAUAUCGACAAGGAUUGCAUAUCACCUCUCAAAAGCACUAUAAGGGAAGGAAACAUGGCUUAACUCCACGUGGAAUCCACUGGUCAAAGAUAGGAUUAACUACCCCCAACCUGCCUAUAUCUCACAAAUGCCGCCCAAGAUAAUUCUAGUGAUGAAGAAGAGUUUAUGGCCUUUUCUCCUAGCUCCAUGCAACAUGAACUUACUGGUGAGAACUCUAUCGGAGAAAAUAUAAGGCCUGAAAAGAGAAAUUUUCUCGAAAGUUGAUUAGAAAAUUUUAAAUAAUUUCUUCUGUUUUGAAGGGAUUAGGAUUUUCUCCUUAUUUUUUAUUUUUUUUUCAUUACCUUCAUAAGCUAGUGAAAAAUAAACUUAAUUAUAAAUAAAGUGAAAAAUAAAUACAAAACUUAAUUUCAAUCACUAAUAAAAUAAUAAUAUGAGGUAAGGGGGAAAAAGGACAAAAAGAGUAUCCCUUGUCCAUUUUGAGGAAGUCUCCAACUUAAGAUGAAUUUGAAAUUGGAACUUCACAUAAACGAAGGGGCAAAAAAGGGCAUUGUAAUUUCUUUUCUUUUUUUUUUGGUAAAAGAAACGAGCCUAUCAAAAGGCUUAACAAAAGGAGGGAACCUAUUCCCUAUACAAACACUAUGAAGCCAAGCUUCAAUACAAUCAGGAGGACUACUAAGAAUGUGGAGGCCAAUAGGUAGUGACAGUGUAAUUCACAAGGAAAUAGAUCCUAUUCCCUAUACAAACACUCUGAAGCCAAGCUUCAACACAAUCAGGAGAAAUGCUAAGAAUGUGGAGACCAAUAGGCAGUGACAAAGCGUAAUUCACAAGGAAAUCUGCUCAAAAUAUUCCUCACGAUUACCGUGACGCAGCAAGACUUGCCAGUUACGAGAUAAAAGCUUUAGGAUGCCGCUAAUAAGAGGAGAAGAAGCAUUACGACAACAUCUUUGGUCUGCAAUAAUUGAAUAACACACAUGCUGUCAACUUCAGCUUGAAGCACCCGAGUACCCUUAUUCCAAGCUAAGGUAAGGCCCUGAUAAAGAACCCAAAGUUCAGCAAUUGUGAUAGAACAUAUCCCAGCUAAAGCCUUCUAUCCAUUCACCAACAGUGUUCCUGAUUAAACCACCGGCAGAUGCUACCCCUGAGUACUUCCUCACUCCAUCCGUGUUCGACUUAAAGAAAGGCCAAGUUGGAGGCACCCAACCAAAAUAUUUCUCCAUUCUACUAUUGUGCUUGACCUCAAAAGUAAUAGUCAGUCUAUGGAUCACUUCUGCUCUAGACAUGAUGUCCAUACGCAUGGAAUCAAUGCUGACGGAGGCUCUUUCACACAUCAGUUUUUUAAACCAAAACCAAAUUCUCUAAAUGGCCACCCCAAAAAUGCACAACCAUGCGUAGUUACCAUCCCAAUGGCUAUUAUUCUUUAAACUCAACAUAAUCCAAUCUCGAAAAGGCAGAUUAAUGAAAUUAUCGUGAGCAUUACAAGGCCCAAGCAAGCUCCAAAUUCUCCUUGCCACAAUACAAUCACGUAACACAUUAACUGCAUCUUCGACAUAACCAUUACAGUGAGGACAGGUAACAUCUGAAAUUAUAUGACGUCGGAAAACCUCAGCUUUGCAUUUUAAUCUCCACUGAACAGCAAGCCAAAGAAAAGUUCUAAUUCUCUGGGGUCCCCUCCAUUUCCAGAUGAGGUUCCAGUUAGAGUCCUGCACAUUAAGGAAGUUUCGGUGAAGAUGUUUAUAAGCUGAUUUAACCAUGAAAGUACCCGAGUUUGAGAAGGCCCAAUAGAAUUGAUCACACGUGCAGCAAGGAUUAGGAGGCUUAAUCCCCACAAUCUUCAACAACACAUGAUUCGGAAGAAGAUGGCAAAAUAGGUUUCAAUUCCACGAUCCACUAGGCGUGAUAAAAUCAACAACGGAACUGCUAACUUAGUCCUCAGGAAUCUGAGUAAUUGAGAGGCCAUAGAGUGGCACAUCAAGAGCCCACAUAUUCCAUCAAAAGCUAACUUUCAAACCAUUCCCCACAUUCCACCGCAGGCCACCAACAACGUAAUGCCAAAUCUUCCCAAGAGCCUUCCAGACAUAAGAGCCAUAUCUCGUGGGAAGAGUCGAAGUUAGGGAAUUAGGAUCGAAACCAUAUUUAGAACAGACCACUCGAACCCAAAAAUUGUUUGGAGAAGUCAAAAUACCCAACCAGCUUCAUUAACUGUGCAUCAUUCAUUAGCUGCAAGUCUUUGAAGCCCAGAUCCCCACAUUCUUUCGGCUGACAUAAAUUGGCCCCAUUGACAAGGUGAAGCUUCUUAGACUCAGAUGCGCCGCACCAAAUAAACUUCCAACAAACUUUUUCAAUCUUGUUGUUAAUAUUAGUCGGCAAUCUUGUAGGUGGCAUGGAAUAGAUGGGUAAGGCUUGAAUCAUAGACUGAGUAAGAGUAAUUCUACCAGCAAGAAACAACAACUUGGCACUCCAACCACUAAGGCAAUUUUCAACUCUUUCCAAAAUGCCCUGAUAUGUAGCUUUAUUAACACAAGAGUGGAGGAUUGGCAUACCCAAGUAUUUUCCUAAGUCUUUUGUGAUCGAGAAGUGUCGGACCAAUUCUGUUCACAUCAGCAGACUUCACAUUAUAAGGAAAAAAAAAAAAAAACUGAGUUUUUUUAUUGUUGACAUUCUCAUCCGAAAUAUCACAAAAACUGUAAAGGAAUUCAUGGAUCACCGUUGCUUGGUCACAAGAGGCUUCAGCAAAAAGAAGGAGAUCAUCCAAAAAAGAAGAGAUGGGUGAUGGGAAUACCUCAGCGAGAAAGGUGAAUGGGCUUCCAACUACUGCUUUGGACCAUACGGUUAAUCCCGGUAAUUGCCUUUCAAUACAGAGAACAAAAAUAUAAGGCGAAAAAAGGUCAUCCUGCCUAAUUCCUCUGGAAGUAGAUCGACCAGUCCAUAAAAUUUGCAUUGUAACUAAUGAGAUACAAUACAUAAUAAAACAAAUUCAGCCAGCAGGUAACCUAACUUCACAAAGGGUCUCACGGAUGAAACUCCAACUGAGGCGAUCAUAAGCUUACUCAAGAAUUGUGCGGCGGCCGAGUCGGGGCAGGCGAGGGGGGCACGGGUUAAGUAGAUUUGCAGUGCACAUGUUGAUGGGUGCGACCAUACCAGCACUAAUGCACCGGAUCCCAUCAGAACUCCGCAGUUAAGCGUGUUUGGGCGAGAGCAGUACUAAGAUAGGUGACCUCUUGGGAAGUCCUGCCUAUUUGAAGCUAUUUUAGUAAUUGUUUUAUAGAUCAUAGAGCAUAGGCUAAUCGGUCUAUACAUUCUGAGGCUGCUUGGCUGAUCAUUUUUGGGAAUUAAGACAAUCAAGGUCUUGUUUAUUGCAUGAGGAACUCCAGUGUCGUUGAAAACAUUUUUCACCAAAUUACAAACUGAUGCGCCAACUAUAUGCCACUGGGAGCGAUAAAAAAAUGCGUGAAGACCAUCAAUUCUAAGAGCUUUAAAAGGCUGCAUGAUAAAAUGGCUUCUUUUAUCUCCCAAUCAACAAGAAUUGCAUUUAAUCUCUCCAUUUUUAAGCAUCAACGGUUGGAAAAUCCCCCACAAUCGGAUAACUUUUAUGAAGAUCUUUAUCCUUGGUAUACAGCCUCUUGAAGGAGGACAUUGCAUAGGUUCUAAUUUGAGCUUCGUCAUAAAUCCAAUUCCUAUUGUCAUCUUUAAGCUCCAUUUGGUACAGUUUUUCAAGUAGAGCUUAUUUAAGUAGAUUUUUUUAUUAGUAGAGUUUUUAUAAAUAGAACUUUUACCAAAAAAAGAAAUUUUUUGUUGUUUGGUUGUCAAUAAGAGUUUUUAUUAAAAAUUUAUGAAAUUACUUUAAUAGACAAAUUUUUUAAAAUUAUAUUAUGAAAAGAAUAAAAUAAGAUUAUCAAAAAAGUAAAGGAUAUUUCAGAUAUUUUAACAUUUAAAAAAAAACUUUUCAACAUUUACUCUAAAAAAUCCAAAAUUUGAGGUUUUGCUAGUAGAGGAAAAAUAAUUUAUUUAAUUUUCAAAAGCUUUAUUAGAAAAAUAACAAAAAUUAUUAUAAGAGUUUAUUGAAUUAAAUGAGCACUUAUGGUUAUUAAAUAAGUCAUACCAAAUAUGCACUUAAUCAUAUCAGUUUUGUUCCUCAUUCUCUGAAGAACCUUGCAGUGAAAGUAGGUUUCCUAUCCCCUUAGCUAAUCUACUCCCUCUUGGAUUUUGAUAGCAUAAGAUUUCUUCCUGGGUUAGAAUAGCCUCAAGAUCCUUUUUUUGGAGAGACUUCUAACUCAAUAAGGUUUUUGAAAUAAUGUGUCUCUAAAGCAUGCCAAAUGCCUUCCAAACAAGUUAGGGUUCUGUUUUUAAGCUGCAGAAUAUUGUAAAAACCUCUUUAUUGCACUUGUUAACUUCUCUCACAAAAUUAUCAGCCGAAUGAGAUAAUCCUCAAGAUAUCUCCAAAGUACUAAAAACAAAAUAGUCAAACAUAUUAUUUGUUAACAAAUGAACAAGAAAGCAAAAAGGUUUAGUAUUGCUGGAACGCGCCACUGGUCUUGCAGAGCAAGCAAAAAUAGGACGAUGAUCAGAAUUAAGUUUUGACAGGUGAAGAAUCUGGGGAUCAGGAAACUUCUCCAACUAAAGAUCAUUGCAAAUAACCCUAUUCAAGCGUUUCAUUAAAGUACCCCUUGCCCAAGUGAACUUACAGCCACGAAACUUAAGAUCACGCAAUUGAUUGGAACUACUGUUCAAAAUGAUUGCAGACACCGCUAGUAAAAAAAAAAGAAAAAACCUUCUUUCUUCUCCGAUGAUCAUCUUGCAACAUCAUUAAGGUCAUGCAAAAGAAGUUUUCUAAUAGAGUGGAUAGGGUUGGCAUAGACGGCUGUAACCCAAGAAACGUUUGUCAGAAUCAUUGGUAGCGAAAACGAGCUUGAUCCUUGGCCUCUUCCACGUCCAAAACUUUCUUCCACUUCCACCACCACCUCCUUUCUUCUUCUUCUUCUUCUUCAUUAUCACUGCGUGUGGUUGAGCAAUUACUAAGAUUCUGGUGACUGCGACUUCUGGAGAAAUAUAAAUGUGAUAAACAAAUGCAAAGAAAAUAAGACACAAUAAUUUACGUGGUUCGAUGUAAAUCAUACGUCCACGGGAAAAGACUAGAAGAUAAUUUUACUAACAAAUGAGAAUUUACAAAAGUGGGAAAAACUAUCAAAACUCAAUAACCUAAUACACCAAAUUGGAUCCUCACUAGAACACUCAAGUAAAAACUCUCUCAAAUUUUGCAAAUCACUUCACUUGUAAUUGCUCUCAACACAAAAUGGGAUGAUCAAGCUCUAACCUCCCCUAUCUAUUUAUAGGCAUUGCUCACCUACCAUUGCAUUCAAUUUGGCCAAUUUGUCAAAUUGGCAAAUUGAAUUUUGAAACAAAAAAAUCAACUUUGAUGGCCAUUGGAUUUGGUGCCCACAAAGCAAAGUUUGAUUUUUGUUGUUUGAUUUUUCAACAAUUCUCCAUCUCGGUGAAAAUUUUAUAAAUCUGAACCAACUAUCAACAAACCAUCAUUUAGUUUUUGUCUUCUCCAAUUGCUUUCAAACUUAUAGGAUAUUGAUCAAAUUUAGACAAUGCUCAAAUUUGAUCGCUGUCACCACCUUAGUCAACAUAUCUGCGGGAUUCUCUGCAGUCUUACUUUUUUAAAGAAGAAUCUUCCCCUCAUUAACAAUUUCCCGCACAAAGUGAAAUCGUACAUCAAUAUGCUUUAUAUGUACAUGAUAAACAUGGUUCUUUAUUAAGUGAAUAGCACUUUGACUGUCGCAAUAUACAUUAACAUGAUCUUGUAUCAAUCCCAAAUUUUCAAGCAAACCUUGUAACCAAAUAGCCUCUUUAACAGCCUCUGUAAUUGUCAUGUACUCGGCCAUUGUGGUCGACAAUGUAACUGUAGACUGUAGCAUAGACUUCUAACUAAUUGGUCCUCUAGCAAAAGUAAAUAUAUAUCCAGUGGAUGAUCUUCGUUUAUUCAAAUCACCAGCAUAAUCAUAAUCAAUGUACCAGAUCACACCUUGACCAAGUGUAUCAUCUCACUCAAAUAGUAAACCAACGUCCACGGUCUUCUGAAUGUACCGUAGAAUCCAUUUCACAGCUUGCCAAUGUACAUUACUAGGAUUAUACAUAUACAUGCUCACUAAACCAACUACAUGUGAAAUGUCAGGCCUUAUACACACCAUUGCAUACAUCAAGCUACCCACUGCAUUUGAAUACGAAACUUGUAACAUGUAUUCUCGUUCUGCAUCUGUCAAAGAAGAUAGUUGUGCAUAAAACUUGAAAAGAGAAGCCAACGGGGUACUCACAGGUUUUGUCUGCUCUGUCAUACUAAACUGUUGUAGUACCUUUUUCAAAUAUUGCUUCUGAGACAAGCUAACUUUGCCACGAGCUCUACUCUGUAGAUCUUCAUUCCAAGAAUCUUCUUAACUUCACCUAAAUCUUUCAUCUCAAAUUCUUAAUUGAGUUGAGUCUUCAACUUCUCAAUCUCAUCUUUGCUCUUAGAUCCUAUUAGCAUAUCAUCGACAUACAAGAGCAAAUAUAUAAAAGAUCCCUCUUGUAGUUUGCGAAAAUACACACAAUGAUCAAAUUUAUUUCUUGUGUACAUUUGUCCUUCAUAAACCGAUCAAAUUGUUUGUACCACUACCUCGAAAAUUGUUCAAUCCAUAAAGCGACUUUGUCAAUUUGCAAACCCAAUUUUCUUUUCUAGCAACCUUGAAUCCAUUUGGCAGAGUCAUGUAUAUUUCCUCUUUCAAAUCACUGUGUAAAAAUGCAGUUUACACAUUAAGUUGAACUAGUUCAAGAUUAAAUUGCAUAGCCAUGACUAGCAAAAUUUAAAUACACGAGUGUUUCACAAUCGAAGAAAAUACCUCAUUGUAGUCUAUUCUUUCCUUUUGAGCGUAACCCUUCGCUACCAAUCUAGCCUUGUAUCGAAUUUUAUUUUUACAAGGAAAUCUUUCUUUCUUUGUGUAUACCUAUUUGUACCAAAUUGUCUUAUUUUCUUUGGGCAGUGUAACCAACUCCCAAGUUCCAUUUUAAUGAAAAGACUACACUUCUUCAUCCAUUGCUAGCUUCCAAUGUACACUUUCAGGGCUACUUAUUGCUUCUCUGUAAAUGGAAGGAACAUUAUCAUCUACAACUGCAAGUGCAUAGGCCAUCAUAUUAACAAAACGAGCAGGUUUGUGAAUCUUCCUUCGUGGCCUUCUAUAUGUAAUUGAAUCUUGUUGUUGUGAAGGUUCUUAGGUCAGAACCUCUUCUUCAUUUUCGGUCAAUGGAGAAUUAUUAUAUGUCUCCUCAACACUGGCUGGAUUAUUUUUAACCUUUUCAAACUCCACCUACUGCAAAGUGCUACUGAUCUUGUCAACCUCUUGAGAAUAUUUUUGUUUCAACAUGGCCGAUUCAUCAAAAGUCACAUCUCUACUGAAAAUAAUCUUCUUUGUAAUAGAACACCAAAGACAAUAUCAUUUUACUCCAUCAGUUAUACCCAUGAACAUUGUUUUCUUUACUUUUGGGUCUAACUUAGAUUCCUUUAAAUGAUAAUAGGCAAUUGAACGAAAAAACAUGUAAAGAAUUAUAAUCAGUGGCAGGUUUACCAGUCCACAUCUCUAUGGGUGUUUUGCCCUCAAUUGCAGCUGAUGGCAAACGGUUGAUCAAAUGACAUGCAUAUACAACUGCCUCAGCCCAAAACUCUUUGCCCAAUCCAGCAUUGGACAACGUACAUCGAACUUUCUCCAGUAUAGUCUGGUUCAUGCGUUCUACCACCCUAUUCUGCUGUGGUGUAUCUCGAACAGUUAAGUGUUGUACAAUACCCUCAUCUUGGCAUAUUUGAAUAAAUAGAUCAUUCUUGUACUCACCAUCAAAUUCUGAGUGAAGUCUUUUGACCUUUUGACUAGUCUUAGUCUCGACCAUUUUCUUCCAUUUCAGAAAAAUAUUCAAAACUUUAUUCUUAUUCUUUAUCAAAUAUACCCACACUUUUCUUGAAUAAUCAUAAACAAAAGUAAGAAAAUAGUGCAUACCUCCCAAAGAAGUUAUUUUGGUAGGUCCCCACACAUCACUGUGAACAUAGUCCAGAACACAAUGUUCACAAAAUUCUAAUUUGCAAGAAUUUGCACCUUUCAAUAAGCCUUGUUUCACUAGAGUCUACAAUACUUUUUCACCAACAUGUCCCAAUCGUAUAUGCCACAACUUGGUUGCUUCUAAAUCUGCAUCUUUUCCAAAAUACUUAUCUAAUAAUUGCUCCCUUGGAAAUAGUACAAGUUAUUUAUUCUUGUGUCUUUCAUCACCGUCAGUGCGCCAGCUACUACCUUUAAAAAACAAUCUCUUAGAGUGAUUGUGAGCCAUUUAGAUUCAAUGACUCCUAAUGAGAUGAGAUUUUUCUUCAAACUUGGUACGUAACGAACAUCCGUUAAGAAUUGGAUUGAGCCAUCAUGAUUCUUUAAUUGGAUUGUAUCUAUUCCCAUGGUUUUACAGGCAUUGUCAUUGCCCAUGAAAACAACUCCACCAGCUAGCUCCUUGAAGCUAAAAUACUAGCCCUUGUUAGGACAUAAAUGAUAAGUGCAACCCGAAUCCAAAAUCUACUCAUCUGAAUGACAUGUUGACGUCAUGCCAACCAGACUAAAGUCUGACUCCUCAUCAUGCUCUGCUACACAUGCAUCAGAAAUAACCUUGCCCUUUUGUAACUUAAGACAAUUAUUUUUCUAAUGCUCUUUCUCGCGAUAAAAAGCACAUUCAUCUUUGGCAAACCUCCCUUUAGACUUGCUUCCUUUUCCAGGUUUGCGGCUUUGUGAAUGACCUCUCGCUGUCAAUACUUCUACAAUUGUAUCUUUGUGAUCCUUUCGGUCUUUCUUUCUAGCCUCAGAGUU
RNAcentral lists this long non-coding RNA (74368 nucleotides) under Citrus sinensis (sweet orange). The record is from RNAcentral. Lineage: Eukaryota; Viridiplantae; Streptophyta; Magnoliopsida; Sapindales; Rutaceae.